This 77836-nucleotide long non-coding RNA is filed under the name Malus domestica (apple). Lineage: Eukaryota; Viridiplantae; Streptophyta; Magnoliopsida; Rosales; Rosaceae. The record is from RNAcentral.
UUCCCUACACCUGUGGUUAGAUUUAUUUUGGAAAAACAAAGAAAAAUAAAUUUCAGACCGAACAGGAUAUCGGCAGAUUAAAAUAUAAUUUCAACUUCCAGCAAUCAUCAUGUGUAUAACUUUACUUACCUUUGUUGUGGAAUCAUCGGAAUCCUCGGUGCAACAUUUCAUACAGUUGGAUACCAAUUCUGCAGUCAAAACUAGGACUUCAGUAAGCAUUUUUGCAUCUUUUUUGAUAAAGAAACGAUUAUAUUCAAAAAGGAAAGAAGCAAAAACAACAGAAAGAGUGGUCAAGCAAACCAGCCCAAACAGAAACUGGAAAGAGAAAGAGACAACUUCACAGAGCUGAAGAGCACCCAAACACAAAAUCACAAACUAAAAGGAAGCUGCCUUCCAAUCUACCCAAAUUAAGGAGAGGGUAAUUCCCCUGAACUCAUAAGAAAUAGAAACCCGGAGGGCUGACAAAAACCUCCGCAAAACCAGCUCCUGCAUAAUCUUCAAAAACCCUCCUAUUUAUCUCAUCCAAACCACCCAAAACUCAGCGAAAAUCAUCCAACCCAACAUUACCUUCACUUUAUCACCCUUCCAAACCGAAGGUGAGCUUCACUAAGCAGAGAGAGGCAGUCCUCCCUUGGAAUUACAAUAAUACCCAUCUCCCUAACCAGCUUCAACCACAAACCCAAUGUCAUCGGACAAUGAAGAGAGAUUGAUCAAUGGAUUUCAAAUCUAACUUAUAUAAGAUACACCAAUAAGGUGACAAGCAGUAAGGGGGGUGAGUUCUAUGAACCAUGUCACAAGUGUUAACUUUGACAUGGGCAAUUAUCCAACAUCUUUACUUUAGAUGGAGCUCUGGGUUUCCAUAUCGUCCAACAGGAAAGAGAGAGUUUCAUUGUCGUGAUUAGCAAUGAAACUAUAGUAAGAUUUGUAAGAAUACCGUCCAUUGGGUCUAAUUUCCUUGAAUCCAUCAUUAUAGGGUGGAAAAUGAUAUUUUCCAGCAAUCUCAAAAGGGAAGAAGAUUCUUCCACUUCCCUUUCGAUUUCUCCUGAAGCAAAAUUCCAGUUCAUUAAUCCACUGGAAAAAUCCUCAACACUAGAAAUGGCCAUAUUACGAUAAGCGAUAUAGUGUAGAGCUUGGAAACUGAGAUUUCAAAGAAGAAUUUCCCAACCACUCAUAUUACCAAAACUUGUUUCUAUCAACGUUUUUGCGCAACAAAAUGGCAUUUUGUAAUGAAAGAGUCGCAUGAGAUCUCUCCUUCCAAGGGCUCCGACUUCCAUUCAUGACACGUUGGAAUCCCAUCCAUUAGACAAAAUUCCAUACUUGCUUUUGAUCACAGAAUGGCACAGAAUCCUAAUUUAAGGAAAACAAGCUCCAUAUUUGCUUCAGUAUACUUAACUAUGCUGGAAGUAAGACAAACCACAUCUUACAGUUACAGUCAAAUAACUAUGCUGGAAGUAAGACAAAUCACAUCUUACAGUUACAGUCAAAAUGUUGAGCAAUCAUAUACCGUCCCCACAUUUUAGGGUUCUCCAAUUCCAAUCCCUGACGGUUAAAAGAUCCCUUACAUUCACCUUAUAUUUAGCCUACAGGUCUUCCAUCUUUUCGGCCAUGUGAUGAAGAAAACACUACUUCGAUUCUAUCAUAUCUCCAAAAAAUGCAAGUGAUAGUGAUGUCUUAUAAUGCAAACAGCAUUGGGAACGGCCACUGAUUACAUCAUCUACCCACUUAUUUCCAUGAUUAUAAGCUAUGCAGUUGUGUUUGCAUUAUUCGGUACGGAAUAUCGAUGGAAUUGAAGACUCAAACAUUUGUUGUUGCUCCUAAUAUCUAUGUCCUUAAUUGCUACAAAUGAUAACUGCCAAUGCCAAAGUCGCCAACCUAAAGAAAUGGAGAUUCCUCCUCUUCGGAUCUCAAAUUCCUUCCCAUAAAGUCAAUAACUGCCAAUGCUAAAACUCUCAUACUUUGUUCUAUGAUUGCACCAAUCAAUGUUAACUAACCUAAACACCUCCUAAACCCUCACUCUUGAAUUCAAACACUUCAAACCCCAUCAACAACAACAGCAAUUCGCACAACAAAAAAUACACCAAAAGGAAAUUGGGGGAAUUUGAAAGAUAGCUAUAGAAAUUAACACUGCAAAAAAAAUUAAAAAAAAAAAAGAGAAAAAGGAAGGAGAAUGGAUUGGAUGGGUAACCUUGAUCCUUAACAUACUCAGCCAAACUGUUACAAUCAGAGCACAAAGCGAGACCUGUGAAGCCAAGAUUCUCGCAUUCCCUUGUGCUCAGCUGCUCUUUCGAUGUUGAUGCACCGGAAGCUACUGCCACCGCGAGCACCACCAACAUAGCCGCCACCAACGCUCCCAUCUCUCUACCUUCGAGCUCACGAGUUUCAGUCUCUCCUCCCAAGACUCGAUGCAAAAACAAAACGCUGGUCUUGCUCUUGGUCUGGGCCUUCGAUUCGUUUCGGGCUUUAGGCACCAUAAACGAAAUUUAAUUUUUUUGGUUUUGUAUUUCUUUUAAUUUAAAAAAAAAUCAGAUUGAAGAAACCCAUGAAGAAAAACAUUUUUGACAUCCAGCUCACAUAACGGCUAAUUCCGAGAAAUAGUAAAUUAAGAGCAAUGCGAAUGGUAACAGUUUUAACCACAAUACUAAACGUUUCAUCCCAUUUCAUUCUGCUUCGUCCCAUCUAUGUACCAAACGCUUUCUAAAAUAACAAUGUAAUGCAACACUCAAGAGAAACCAACUUACGGUCUCUCACACCAUAACAUGGCAAGUACUCCUUUCUAGAGACCAUUUCAAAUGUAAGUCAUUCUUAGGCUUAAGUUGAAUCAAGUGGGUUAAAAGUUAUUAAGUAGGACCAAACAUCAACAGACCUAAAUUGAUAAGAUAAAUCCAUUGGAGUAAACCAAAUAAUUAGUUACACAAUUGGUCUUAUAUCUAAUUCUAAUUAUCUCUAUAUUUUAUGCAUUCGUGGAUGUUUUUAUCGUUUGUUCCAAAAAAAAGAAAAUUGAAUCAAGGGGGUUUGGGCCCAAUGGGCGUAAUGAAUUUCGAAACUCUUUUUUUAAGCUCACUUGUUAAUUUCAAGCUUCCCUGAGAUUAUGAAUAAUUAACUUAAAUUCAUUUAGUUAAUUAUUCCAUCUCCUUAUUAAUCAUAAUUAAUUAGUUCAACACACUUUAGUAAUCUUAGCUCCCGAAUAAGGUGUGUGAUCCAUUAGGUAUUAACCGACGAGGCAAUAAGAGCGAUUAAUCUCCAAUAAUCCGUCUAGCAAACUUAAAAUCCAUUUAGUUUUACCCUCAUUGUGAAACAGAUUAUCCAUUUCACAAGUCUUACUAACCAUGAGUAACACCGAACAAACUGUACGUUAUGGUGUCCAAGUCGAUAUGAAAUAAACGACAUAGAGAACCUAUAUAUUUUGGAAUCACAUUACAAGAUACUACAAUAUUUUCAAUUACAUUUACAGUCGAUGAUUGAUGUCAAACCCUUUUUGGUGCUGAACAUAACACCAAUGUAAACUAUUUUGCUCGUAUGAUCCAAUUUAAGGCAAUGAGUUUUUGCAUAUGCAAACAUAAGUGUGCACUGAUCUUUUCGGAAUUAUCCAUAUCAACUCGAUAGUUUCAACGCUCGGGAAUAGUUUUAGGAUAAACACAUGAGAUUGGUCUUAUUAACUUAACUUAUUAAGUUACUUGCUUCUUAUGUAUAAAUUAUCGUUGAAGUUAUCAAUAUACAAUCUCAUUGAAGUUAUUCAUGGACUCACCCAAAAGAUUUUAUUUGGUUUAGUUGAUGUAUGGUUAUCUUGCCCGUGAUUAGUUCAUGAACUAUUGUGGUAUUGUCCGAAAUAGUUUAUCAACCCAUUGAUUGCUUUUAGGGCAUACCUCUAACAACUACAUAUUUCCCUUAUAAAUAUGAAGAGAAGAAAGAUGAACUAAACUUACCCUUGAAGCUAUUAGAAAAACCCUUACAAAUUGCUCCACCAAUCUUCUUGUUCUUUAAGUCUUCUCUUUAAACUCUCCACCUUUGGUUCUCCUUUAGUUGUCAAAGUAGACAACCUUUAGCAUCUCCACACCACUUAAAUCUUGAGUGGUUGGAUGAAACAUAGAAGGGAGAAAUAGACUAAUGAGUAUCACUUAGUAGAUUUGUGAUUUAUGUUUGAGCAGUCCCACAAAUAAUGAGUGACAUUUAGCCAUAUGCAAUGACUAAUCAAGUCAAAGGAAGAUAUAUUCCAUAACUUUUUUAGUUGAAACUAAAAUGCAAUACAAUACUUCGCCUAUUUAUGAAUACUAAUUACAUUAUUAUGGUCGUAUUGUUUAUCAAACCACUAAUGAUGAAUACAAAUAAAAUCUUAAAAGCUAAGCAAUUUAAAGUGAGUUUUGGUUUCUGGUUUUCAGUUUUCAUUUUAUUUACCUUUCUUUAUGCGUGUGUGUAUUUAUAUAUAUUCCUACCUUAGCUUUCUCGCCAUCCUUCCUCCCUUCUCUCGUACCCUAUCAUAUAUUAUCCAACUAGUGUAAAAUAAGCUCUCAUUAUGCUCAUAACAUAAGAUAUGACAUAAGGAGAGAUUUUUCUGUGUAAUCGAAACAUAAGAGAGUACACUACAUGUCAUAAUAUAAGUGAAUGAACAUUGAAAAAUAUAUAUUCUAAAGCUUUGUCAUCCACUUGUAUGGUAACACGCGGUAUAAUAGUUUGUAUUUCAGAUAGAACAAUAUUUGGCUACUUAAGGAUGAGUAGGAACUUCUACUCAAAAUUCUUCACGUUCCAAUUAUUAGAGUUUUGUGUUUAUAAUCAAAACCGUUUAUAUUAUAAAUCACUUUGUAAGAAUUAUCUCUAUAAAAAUAAAUUAAAACUAAAAUUGUUUAGUCUAUCUAUUGUAGCAAAUACAUAGAUAAUCUGUAAUACUUUUGUCAAUUCCGUUCAUAUAUUUUUAUACAAUUCGAUGACUAAACGAUCUUAGUUUUAAUUGAUUUCUUGCUUAGGCGAUGAAUAGAGUGAUUUAUAAUAUGAACGGUUCCGAUUAUAAACACAAAGUUCUAUAAAUCGGCAACGAAUUAUUUUGAGUAUGAACUCCUACGUCACUUAGUACUAUGAUCUAGUAAUAUUCCUCUUGACUUAUAAGUGAAAGGUCUUAGAUUCGAUUAUUGUCAAAGAUGAACUUGAACCAAAUUGUUGUUGAUAUCCCAUUGUGAUGCUUAACUCACCACCUUUUCUCACGUAGAUAAUAUCGUUUUUUUUUUUUCUUCCAAGUUUUGCCCUUUCGGACAUGAAAAUAGUGAAAAAUCUUUUGUUAAGAAAUGCAAAAGGCAAAUGGCAGGCUUCCACGUGUUAACAAAAGCGGGAAAGCCUUAACUCUGUCUAGGAGUAAGAAUAGGAAGAAUUAUUAGGAAAUGAGAGGCCAUUGUGUAAUUUGUGUUUAGGUUUUUAUAACGUUACGCAGUCACCACUCCCUGCUUGCUUUCAUCGGCCGCCACCACUCACCCGCCUUCUCUUCUCUUCAGCUCCUCCCUCACUCCCACUCUCCGGUACCCCUCUCUCUCUUCGUAUGCCAAAUAUGCAUGUAUGUUGUGGCAAUGGUCUGUACUGUUGAUAUUCCAACAUCAAUUCCUCCUUGAUAUUAUAAGGAAGCAUUCGUAAAUCGAUGUUGUAAGAACAGAGCUCAGCUGGUGGCUAUGGCUCCUGCCCAACCAGACAUGGAGGCUGACCAGCUCCAAGACUGCAAACCAUUUGUCAACCCAAAAGUUGAACUUGUUGAGGAUGAUACAGAUAUCAGAAGGGCUUCCUUGCCAAACUCUGCUUCUGCUUCGGCUUCGGCAUCGGAGGGAAAACACAUCGCUCCAGUCGUCGACAUUGAUAUAAUUCAGUGCACAAGUAAUCAGGACAGUACUCAGCCUGAUCCCGAUGCAACGGAUGAAUAUUCAACCUCAUUCGCCGACACUACGUCCGACACUGACAAUUUUUCUGGAUUUUGUGAAGAAGGUGAAGUGCAGUCACACGAGCACAAUGCUUUGACAUCUGCUUUUGAUGCAUUUGCGAGUACAUUUCAAACCAGGUGUGUGUGCAGCUUUUUCCUUUCCCCCUCGUAAUUUAUUAUUUCUAGUUUAUAUCAAGUUACUUGUGAUUUCCGUUUGUACUUGGACUUCCCACAUGAUUAACUGCUACUACGCUCAAGCUUUGGAAUGACACGAUGAAACCCUUUGUAUUAUGCACAUCUUGAUUUGAAUUUUGGAACAAUCUACAUUCUAAACGUGAAACUUUACCACUAAAAACUUGUUAGUUUUUUCUUUUUUAAGUAACCCGCCGCUGGUCUGGAAGCCAGACUUAUGGUCAGGAGGAGGCUGAAAUGCCUCUGUGAGUCUUCUCGGCCCCCGAAAGGGGUGGAUAACCGUGGUUUGCCACUAGUUGUCCCCCCUUUUUUCUAAAAAAAAAUAGUAACUUGCUAAGUAAACUUAAGAUUGUCAGUGCGAGUGCGACCGCCCUGUGCAUAUUUUUAUGGGUGUUAAUCAUGAAAUAAUGUUGUCUUUCUAGAUGGUACAACAAUUAUCCAGUCUAAGGUUGUUUUUCCAUCCAAAAACACUGGGCGAACAUUCUCUGUCUCUCCAAUUUUACAAGUAUGUAAACAUAGACAUGGGUUUUUGAUACUUCAGUGUCAUCUUUUCGGCAUGUACAUCUGGGAAAUAGUAUAACCCCUCACGUGAAUAUCCCAACUGCCUUUGUUUCUAAUUCAGGAAGAAGAAGUUGACAAAUCACUGGAGGAGCUUUAUACGUCCUGUAAUGUGGCGCUGCAAAUGGAUGGAAUUGAGAAUCAAAGAAAUUGAAGCACAAGCACUAAAGUAUUCCAGAGACCUACGAGUAGCAUAUGAUAAAAAAAGGCAUACAGGAUUCGACCAACGUACUUUGGAUGAAUUUGGUUCAAAGUCAUUGCCAUUUUGUAGUCAAUUCCGCAGAAAGAAAGCUAUGAAGAGGAGGAAACGCAAGAGAGUUGAAGACACAACUGAUAUAGCAUCAUACAUCUCAAAUCAUAGUGUCUUUUCCUAUCUUGGUGGGAACUUCUUCUUUAUAUUAAAAUAUACCAUGAAUUUGCUCAUUCACUCCCCUUCUUAAAAUACACCUCCAGCCAUGAUAUUUAUCCUUGCAUUAUUAUGUAUUGCAGAAAAUAAAAGAUCCGAUCCUGACAGCACAUCCAUUGCUGAUGACUUUAAUAAUGCAGGUAUAGUUCUUACCAUUUGUUGUUUCUUCCUCGUGUUGAGCUGUAGGACUCUUCAUUCUUGCCAAUCUCAAUAAUUCAGCAACUUUUUGAAUUGUGUUCUUAAUUUUUUUUCUAGUUUUUUUCUUUAUUCACUAGUCCAAGCAUAAUUUGUUUCCUUAAGAUUGACUCCGAGACUUAUUUGAUUAUUGUUGAGGGGAUAGUAAUCACAGAGCAGAGUGCGGAUUACAAUGAUAAACUCAGUGCUGGUGAUAACUGGGCAUUCUUUGAGUACCGAGAUGGUGACAAGUCUUUGGAGCAUGUCCUUUGGAAAAUUGAGACAGUGCACUCUCGGGUUCACAAGUUAAAGUAUCAAAUGGAUGUGGUGAUGUCAAAAAAUGCUGCAAGGUUUUCUUCCAGCGAAAAUUUGAGCAUUCUUGUACCCUGUGAUGCACAGACCAGCUCUGCACAUAGUCCAGCAUUGUCUCCUGGCAAUGGAGAAACAAACUCUGCGGGAGCUAUAUAUACUUCAGCUCAACAUGUAUCAGGCUACAAUGUUGGGGAUCUCGCAAUGCCUGAAAGUGCAGUCUCAAGUUUUGUGGAGGGAGUCACUGUUCCUGAUAUAAUUGAAAGCACUGUGGGACUACCGUCUGCUGUUGACGUUACCUUCCAUCAGCCACAGUUUGGAGACUCAAGCGAAGAUGUAAGUCUUCCCUAUGGAACAUAACUUUCAUUCCACAACUUUCUUUUAACCUACAGCCAAAAAUAUUUCUACCAUGUGAUGAUAGAUGCAUAUCACAUAUCAACUACGGUAAAAUUGACGUAGUGGAUGUCAUCUCUUCAACAAGUACCACAUAAAAGGUCGUACCCAGUGCACAAGGCUCCCGCUUUACGCAGGGUCUGGGAGAGGUGAAUGUCAACUACCACAUAAAAUUUGACGUAGUGGAUGUCAUCUCUUCAACAACUACCACAUGUGGACAUUAAUUUUGUUUCAACAAGGGGCCUAAUUGGGAGUUAAAAAGUUACGCCAAACCCAAAAUUUGCCCAUCAUAUAGUUGAGAUAAUUAAUUGAUAUCGAUAGCAGCUCAAAGUAUUUUUGUUUGUGUAUUUAGUAGCUAAUAUAAGAUACCUUUUUAGUUGCCCUUUGUUUCUCUGCAUAACAGAACUGGAUCAUAGGGUUUUUAUGUCAUCUCUUACAGAUUGUGGAUAAUGUCCUGAUACAUAAUGAGGCAGCUGAAGCAGAGAAGCGCGCUUUCCAAAUGAUCAACGACCAACCUAAAGAGGAACAUCAGCAACCAGAGAAAGACUUACAAGAAGCCGCUUUUCCAACUCCACAAUCAGAACCUGCUCCCUCGGCAGAAGCUGCUGUUCCUCAGGAACAAUCAACUCUAGAGUCAUGCUUGGCUUCCGAUGUAAAUUUUCAUAGAAACAAGAGAAAGCGAGGGGAGCGGAAAGCAGGUUCGGUUGUUUGGAGCAAGAAAUGCUCAGGCGAGCCCGAUAGCCAAUGAGCUUCAUUUCCUUAAAUUAUGCUGGUUCAUGGAACUACAGAGACAUUUCCUCUUCUUUUUUCACAUGAGUGGAUACACGAGCUUGUUACAGUUAUUGUGAACUACCACUUGCUGUAUAUAGGGAAGCGGUUUCGGUUCCUAAGUUACGUCGCGGUUUCGGUUCCUAAGUUACGUCGCGGUUUGCAGCAUUGUCGCAUACACAUUGUGGCAAGAGCCAGUCUAGUGUAGUUUGACAGCCAAUAUGUGGAAUAGUUGGUCUAAUUACGUGUUCCAUCAACAAAAAAAGGUCUGAAAUCUUUAGGACCCGUUUGAUAACUAUUAGAUAUCAAUGGCUUCUCUUGCAUUACCCGGCACGAGCGGUUUUGUUGAUGAAUUGUUAGUGUUUUAUUUUUGGAAUACUUGCUAGUCAAUAACAGCUUUUAGUGACAAAAAUGUUUUACUUUUGUAAUGGCUAUGGGAAUGAUAUUAACUCCUAUUUAUUAUCUAUGUUAUGCCAGAUGUUCUAUGGGUACAAGCUUACUAAUGUAAAACCCAGUUUCGAUUUAUUCAUGCGAUAUUUUUUUCUUGUCAACGGUGAGAUUAUGUGAAUGAUCUACUACUGAGUUUGCUUUAAAGUAAAAAAAUAAAGUUGUUUUCUAAUUUUAGUUUAGAGCGAAAAAAACAAUUUAAAAUAACACUAUACUGUAAUGUUAAGUGGUUAAUAAUCAAUAUAAACUUAAUUAAUCAUAAACAGCUGCAUACACUUACAGGCAUUACCUCAUUGAUCUUUAUUUUUUUAUGUUGACAUGGCUUGGAGAAGAUGUAUUAAUUAGCUUAAUGAAUCAUUUACAUAACCGUAACUGAAAUCAAAAUACGGAAUUGAAUUUUGAUUACGGAAUCACCCCGAAGUUUACUAAAUAUUGUGGAAUAAAAAAAUUGGUGGAACACACACGAAUGAAAUUGAACUCUCAACAUUUAAGCGGUGUUCUAAUUCUGGAUUUUUGAGGGAAUCGGAAAUGGAGUUGGUCACACGCCAAUGGAAUUGGGGUCCCUAUUGUUCUUUAAGAUCAGUUGCCGACCGUUCAGAAGUAAAUCGGUUGAUUUGCAUGAUGCCUAUAGGAGAGAUCAUGCCAUUAGGGUGCGGAAAACUACCAAGUUGGAAGGAGAACUUCUUAGAGAAUCUCUAACAAUUUUAUUAAAUUGUUCCUGGUUUAGCAGUUGAAUAAUGUCACGUCUCCAACAACACGUUAUGUUUUAACAAACUUUGAAUUUUUAUUAUCACUCAUUUUAAGAAGAAAAAACUCAACUCACUCAUUUUUUUAAACAAACAUACAUUCGAUCUCUUCCUUUUAUCAUUCGCUAGUGAAUUCACACUUGGAAUUUCAUUAAUUUUUUAAUAUCUAGCUCAUGAAUAGUUGCUCUAUAAACUUAAAUACUAACCGUUCAUUUUUCUAUAACAAAAACUCUUUUAUAGAGUCAAGCUUCUCUUGAAGAUGAGUUUUUUCAAAAUUUAAAACUCUUUAAAAUAAAGUUUUAGGGGAUUUACAGUUUUAUGUGGAGAUGCUUUAAAUGAAGCUGGGAAGGAAAUUCUUGUAAAUGACCCAAACCAUCUCUAGUGUUCAUUAUUAUCUUCUCCCCAAAGUUCUUAUUCUGAGCUUCCAAUUUUGUGCAAGUUUUCUUGGGUAAAAUUGAUGACAAAUGUCGAAUUCAUUGGAAACCUUGGGAGUUGAUGUGUAGGCUAAAUAGUGGAGAAAUUUUGUAUGCAAGACGUCUUUAUAUAUCAAGUAUUAUAAUACAAUUAGUUGAAUAUUUUUUUUUUCAAGUUUUCAAUAAUUAUAUUUUUAUACUUGAUGUAUCAGAUCGUAUUUUCAACUAAAAUAUCCCACAACCACAUAUCAUAAUAAAAGUCAAGGGACAUAUAUGGAAAAAUCUCUCCCAAUCAUGAUGUCUUUUUCCAAUGCAGCAGCUUUUAGGUUCUUAAUAUAACAUCUCUCACAAAUGAAUUAUGAUGCCAUCUAUUAUAAGUUCGAUGGAAAGAGGUUCUCUCAGGAUUCCUUCCUUUUAAUUCAUCAAGUUUGAGAAUUUAGAUCGUUGAUUUUUGAUUUAAUGGUUAAAGUUGUUAUAAUUUUUAAAGUGAGUCCCUGUUUAUAAUCAUUGGAUUAAAUUUUAACGGCUCAGAUCCUUGUAUUUGAUGGAUUAGGAGGAAGGGAUCCAUAGAGGAUCCCUUUCCAAGUUCGAUGACCCAAAGAGCAAGUUUUUUCUGAUUUUAAGGAUUCCGCUCUAGCAACAAAGAAGAAAGCAAUUUCUAUUGUUUAACUUGGCUAGUUUCGCAUUUGAAUGAAUUUUUGUAAGGAUAAUUUUUAGGGAGUUUUAACGAAAAGUUCACGGUACUGUUCACUUUAACGAAAAACCACAUUUUUACACUAAAAAGUCAAACAUGGUACUAUUUAUUUUACCCUUUAUUUUGUCCUUAUCAUUAAAACUCAAAGUUUUCAAACCCUUUUCAUUAGUUUACUUAAUUUUUAACGAAAGAGCUAGACGGUUGAGGUGAUGGAAGUACACUGUUAAAGUAGGCUCUAUACGGGUGUCAGUUAAUAUUAUGAAAAAGGUUUUUGGGUAGGGUUGAGAUAUUAAACGCGAGGCAUGAGGUAUGAUGCAUGCCAUGAGAGGUACAGGUUGAUACCUAUAUGAUAAUGAUAUGAUUCUUGUGUACAAAGGCCAGGCCAGGCAGGCAAGGCAUGUCUGAACACAUUGGUGCUUUAGCUUUCCCCCAUGCUAAUAAUCAUAGACAUUGGGAGGGAGGUAACCAUGAUUACAAUCAUUUGGGUAGCUUUUUAGCUUUAUAUAUAUAUAUGAUAUAAUGACACAUCCCGACCUGGAAUGUCUAGUAGAACUCCAAAUCGAGCUGUGCUGGUCGACAUCUGAAAAGUGAUGAAGCCAUAAAAUGUGAUGAUGUGGAAAAAUUAUGAAUAAAUUUAAACCUAAGAGUGCCUAAAUACCAGAGUGCACUGGUGAACGGGAAUAAACUCACUUCACACGUGAUGUUAGAGCAUAAGUAAGUACAUAAGAGUGAAUUAAGAAUCGUACCCUCGAAAUAAUCUCCAAUACUAAGAAUCACCACGAAUCUUCGACGAUAAAAAAGCUCAGCUGAUAAAACCUGGAGGGUGAAGACAAGACAUGGGUGAGUGGCCUUGUAAGUAAGAUUUUAAUAGAAACCAUAUAAAACAUUAUAACCUCUCGCUGCAACCCCUGUAUAAUUUCCAGAAAAUCAUAAUAUACCACAACACAGCAUCUCAUCAGUAAUAUCAAAUAAUCAUGCGAUUAAUAACUCAUACUAGUACGCAAGUCGGAGUCACCUAGGGUGACAUGUACGACUUACCCAUAUCUCAUCACAUAUAUUAGUUCAUCAUUUAUUUCCUCACAUAUGCUAGUUCAUCACAUAUUUCAUCACAUAUACUAGCUCAUCACAUAUCUUAUCACAUAUGCUAGCUCAUAAGUUGGGAGUCACCUUUCACAUAUAGUGACCUAUACGACAUAUUCAUAUCUCAUCAAUCAAUCUAGCCGGAGUCACAUAUAGUGACCUAUACGGCAUUACGCCUGCACACGAGUCGGAACCACUGUAAUGGUCUGUACGACAAGACUGGGUGUAAAUGAAUACGCUCAAGUGAUACGAUCACGUGAAAAGUCACCUACGAGUCAGAAUCACCUAUAGUGGUCUGUACAACAAGCAUGUGCACUUACCUUGAAUUCAAGGUGAGCGUAUGGUGCAAGAGGUGAACAUUACGUGAAAGAUUGUGCCCUGGCCACGGACGGGAGUACUAACACCGAGGUGUAGGUUUAUGAGCUUUAAAUGCAUAUAAUACAAUAUGUACGACUCAUAAGCAACCUGUACGACAAUGCCGGAGUUGCCUACUAUUGCAACCUGUACGACAGUAUCGGAGUUACUUUCAAGAGUAAUCAUCGAUAAGCCUAAUUAGACACUAGCUAAAUUAACUAUCAAUUAAUUCCCUUUCCUUACUUCAAUUUCUUGAUUAUUCAUGCAAUGAUUUAUGAUCGACAUUUAACCACUAAAACAUAGGGUCAAAUCUUAUAAUCUUUCCACCAAUGUCCCUCAAACUGCUCAAUUUCCCAAACUAGAUUAUUGUCUCGAUUAUUCAUUCUCAUUUAUUAUAUGGUUGCAUCUAACAUCUUGUUAGACUGCAUACGUACCCUAAACAGGGAUCAAGCCAUUCGUAGUUCGCAAUAGUAUUUCAAAGCAUUCACAAUAAUCAUAAGCAAUAAUCAUUUCAUAAACAUUUAUGGAAUUGUCAAUCAUACAUAUAUAUAACCCACUCACCUGAGGUCCGCGCUACGACUCCCUAGUAUGCAUACCGAGACAUCACGAACCAUCGUCGCCUACGACCAAUUAUCAAAUCACAUCUCAGAAUUCUGACCAAUACAAAUACAUAAUUUACAUAAAACACACCCUAAGAUUUGAUAUGGAAGAUCCGCAUUACGGAUCUCCGAUCCGUAAAUUCUUAAGAUCCACAUUAUGCUUCUAGAACAACAUCCUAAACUUUCAUUACGAUGCAAAGGUCGGAUUUCCGUCAAUUGCCCAAAACUAAGUGACGGUUAACAUUUAUUUUAUAAACUUACAAAUCCAAUUCGGGAAGAUCCGUACGUCGGAUUCCUGAUCCGUAAGUUCCUAUGAUCCUCAAAUAUUAUGCACUAUAAUGUAUUAAAGUUUGGUGACGGUCAAAUGGUCGGAUCGUCAAUUCAUAUAACGACCUAUUAACAUAACGUAGAGAAUUUAGAUUCCAACAAUCAACCUACGUCAUAUAACUACCAAAACUGAACUCAAGGCAUCUAAUUAGCCUAAGAAUAACAUUGACGGCACCUUGGCCACGCGCCGCCGCACCAGCCACCGCGGAUGGCGGUCGGCCGUUCCGGCUCGCCGGAAAAUUCAACUAUUUCUAAAAAUUCUCAAAAAUUAUAGAAAUGAAGAUCUCAAAGAGUAGAGCAAACUUUAUACCUGCGGCCAAGACCAAUUUGGCCGGGAAACACCUCAAUUACACAAAAAACCGUCGGAAACCCUGUAAAAGGUGUGCCUUGAUUCGUCCUCAAUUCAAGUCCGACGCUCCAACCAUUGAUUGUCCAUUGUUCUAGGCCUCAAGGGGAGUUGGUUGAUGGUGGGAAUUGACGGGAAGAGUUGUAGAAAAUGGCGAAUCACCGUUGGGUGUCCUCGGAGUUGCCACCGUCAUAUCCCACAAAACAGGGCCAAAUCCCGUCCAAUUUGUGUAGGAAAUCGAAGAAGAAGGACCAAGAAGUAGUUCCCCGGUGUUGGCCUGGUGCAAUUCGUCGAAAUUUGACCGGAGAAAGCCCUGGAUUUCAUGUAUUCCCGCCAGGUCCAGUUUUAAAGGAGAAACGGAUCGAGGGGGACUCAGGUAGUCUACCCCUUUCCCUCCAUCCUUUCCCUCUCGUCUCUCCCUCUUAUUCGUCUCAUCUCUCUUUCUCCUUUUCUCUGAUUCGUCCCUUGUUCUUUCUCCUUCUCUCUGAUUCGUCCCUUGUUCAUCUUUUUCUCCCUCUCCACUUUGCUGCCAUCAGGCAGCCUUCCUCUUCCUCUUUAAAAUAAUUAAUUGAUAAAUAAUAUCAACAUUAUAAAAUAUAUAUAAAAUAUAAUUAGUGACUAAGACAAAAGUACUUCUCGAGUUUACAGUUCUAUAAUGUCGAGUACUUUAGGAAAACACUAAAGAAUUAAUUCGUACACCUCAUUAUACGCUGAUCAAUGAAAGUCAAUACCCCCGCCUCUAAGGGCAUUUUCGUAAAAUCACGCUUUUAAAAUUAAUAUAAAUGUAAAAUUUGGGACGGGUUGUCACAUAUAAGAUUUAUUCGCAUUUUUUUCUUUACUUUAUGCAUGCUAUUGUUUAUAUGACAUGAAUUAUCAUAUCAUAACAACCAAAUCAAAGUGGUAUAUUGUCAUUACUAUACUACUAUACUAACCGAAUAAUUUGAUAUAUCAAAAUUUGGUGUAUCAAAAGUUUGACACAGCAAUGUAUUUUGAGAUACCAAAAAUUUAGUAUGGUAAUUGAUAUUAAAAUUUUAGUAUGAUAACUGUACCAACCCAAUCCUAAUUUAAAUACAUCCAGUGGUUCUCAUGUGAUUUUUUUAAUUCAAAAGUAAAAAAUAAACACGAAGUAUCAGGAAGAGAAAAAGAAUUCGUGAAAAAUCACAAACCAAAAUGAUUUUCUUUGAAAGUUAUGAAGGGGAGCUUUAGUAGUUACAUCAUGAUUCAUAAAGCAAAGAGAUUUUGAAUUUUGAAACUCUCUCUCUCUCUCUGGAGGAGUCAGGCCUGCCAAGUUGCCAAGAAAAAGAGGUAAUAAAGAAAUGGAGUAAAGAAAAAGGAGCACAUUGCCAUCUCUAUCUUCUCCAUCUUUGGAUCAGAAAUUGGAGCAAAAGCAGCUGCAGGGUCCUCCACAUUAUUCUCAUCAACCCAAAUGAAACUUCUUCUUCCUCCUUCUCCUCCUCUUUCUUCCUUUCCCAUCUCAUUAUUCUUCACCUGGACCUGCAUUAUCUGUUCAUGCAAGAUCCAAGUAACUCACAAGCAAGGUAUGCCCAUUGCCCGCCCCUCUCUCUCUCUCUCAACAUGCACACCCUGCGCACAUUGUAAGCUUGUAGGUACAUAAUCAUAUGGCCUAAAUGGAUUAUUAGUAUCUGGUGAUAUUGUAGUUGGAAGGUAAUUCAUGUGAUUAAAAAAUUAGAAUUUAAGCUCAUAUAAUAAAAUUUGUUAGAAUUUAUGCCCAAAUUUGAAAUUUUUAUCGACUUUCCGUUGAUUAUUAGCACAUGAGCCAUACAUAUUAGGCUAAAACGAAACUCUCCAUUAAUUGUUAGCACGUGAGACUCAUAUGUGAGAUUUAGUCUCACAUGUAAGUCUCACGUGCUAACAAUUAAUGGAGAGUUAAGGAAAAUUUCAAUUUUGGUUUAAAAUCUUAACAGAUUUCACCACAAGGAGUUUAAAUUCUUCUUAUUAUUAUUAUUUUUAUCACAAAGGCUAUCUUCCAAUUAUUUUAUCACCGCAAGAACUAUUAAUCUAAUUAAGCCUAAUCAUAUUUACAUGAAUGUUAUGGCACAAUUAAUUUGAGUCCUGCAUGCUUCUUCAAUGUUGAUUAAGUAAUUGCUGCUUUUUAUAUAAUUUUUAUAUAUAUUGAGUUUAAUAUUUACUAUAUACAAAUGGUUAGAGUGUUAUGCUAGUCUACUAAAGAGAACGGAGAAUAUAAUUUUGGAAUGCUAAUUCAUGUCUAUUGACAAAGUUAAUCAUAUAUUUCAGGGGUUUUAUGGUUUUCGGUCCAUUUCAUUAACAUCACUUUGGGUCUUGUCCAUCUAAUCUACUUACAAAGAUGCGGUCCAACUCAAUUAAAAAUUCUGCCACAUAGACUAUUUACAUCCAACAGGAUCUUCUCGGGAUCCUUUUGGUGAGAAUUCUGGAGAUCAAUGAAUCGUGUCCGUUUAUCGUACAUAGUUUUUGUCAAAUACUGUUUAUAUUUAAUUUUAAAUAAAAAUAUUUGAAAUAAUUUCUGACCGCAUGAUAUACGAUAAACGAACAUGAUUGACGAAUCUCCGAGAUUCUCACAAAGAGGAUCCGGCGAUGAUUCAGAUUCAGCUAUGAUAUUUUGAAAGGGUAAUGCUAGGACUGUCAAAAUUUUAAAUCAAAUGAUGUGACUGUUAAUGAUUUGAUUAUUAUUUAAGUGUUGAUUAACGUGCUUAUUUUAUAUUGCUGACAUAUUAUUUAAUUUACAAAUUUAGUUUAAAAUUUUGAUCUCCCUAACAUUACUCAUUUUGAAAUACUACCCCAUAAGCCACUGAUUCUAAAUGGUAGACUACUCGCUUCAUCCUUAAAUCCAAGCCACCUAUCAUUCCUAUCUCCAACGUUAUUAUUACUUGAUAAGUAAUGUUACGGAGACUGCAUAAGUAUACUAUAUUGAUUAACCAUAUAAUGUGAUAAGAGAUUCAUACAGUUGAUAUUUAAUCGGAUAAACUCAUUAAUUGAUACGAUAUGCAUACAUUAUUUGACGCAUCAGAUAAUACAUCAAUAUGGUACAAACAUGUAGUAUACCCGCAUAAGUAUACUAUAUUGAUUAACCAUCUAAUGUGAUAAAAAAAUUAUUGAUAUUUUGUGUAAAAAUGUAGUUUUUCGUUAAAGUAAAUAGCAUCAUAAGCUUUUCGUUAAAGUUCCUAAUAUCUUAGGGUAUAAACGGCAUCCAGGCUAAAAAAUAAGGAAAACUAAUGAAAAUGGCUUAAAAACUUUGAGUUUUAACAAUAAGGAUAAAAUAAAGGGUAAAAUGAAUAGUACUAGGAUUGACUUUUUAAUGUAAAAAUGUGGUUUUUCGUUAAAGUGAACAGUACCGAAAAUUUUUCGUUAAAGUUCCUAAGAAAUAAGCUGACUCAUAAUAAAAAAAAAGAAAUUUAUUAAGUAGGUCCAAAAGUGAAUGGACUUAAAUUAAUAAGAUAAAUAUGUAGGAUUAAACCUAAUUAUUAACUACGUAAUUGAUCUUAUGUCUAAUUAUCUCUAUGUUUUAUGCAUUCAUAGAUGUUUUCAUUGUCUUUAUCUCGUACCUAUUGACACAACUAACAUAAUCUUAUAAUUUGCACUUCAUCUCUAUUUGAUACGUAUUUUUUUUAGUACAUUGAUAUUUUUACACUAAAAUGAAUGGAGUUCGGUUAAGCCACACAAUGGACAGCCUAAUUUGGUAUUGAAUUCGCCAUCCACAAUAUUCGAACCUAAGACCUCUAACUUCUAAAUGAAGAGGAAUAUCACCAAACCGUAGUACUAAAUGGCCUAUCUUAUACGUAUUAAUCAGACAAUAUAAAUUGAGACGCUUCCUUUCAUAUUGACAAGUUUUUUUAUUUGGUACAUGUGAGAUAGUUAUCUUGGGGAUAUUACAGUUAAUAUAAUGCAUUUGUUUUUGAAUAUAUAGGAAUAAGCCUUGGUAUCAAAGAGCAAUGGAGAUGGGCAGUUUGUGGAGAAGCAUCAGCAAUACUUCCAAGUCCACACAAGUUCCAGCAUCAACUUCAUCCACGCUAUGGAAAACCAUUGUUAAUGUUAGGAGUGGGCACUUGGAACCGAAAACCGAAACCGAAACACGAAACAAACCAAGCACGCCUAAUGUCCAAAGUGGUGGCAGUAGUACUGCUACUGGAACAAACAAUCACACUUUUUCUGCAGCUUCCAGUUCGAGUUCGAGUUCGAGUUCCAGUAACAAUAAUAUUAGACAUGCCAACAAACUGCGAAAAUGUACCUCUCUAAAGGUUGCCACUUCAUUUACAAGGGUGUGCCUUUGUGCACCAAUAUCUUCCUACAAUGAGGUUUUCAGAGCCGAGCUUCCCCCAAGAAGAAGCAAUAGUUACCCGAGAACGCGAUCGUAUUCCAAGCCACUUGGUACAACUAGUAGCAGUACUACUGCACAAGCACCACAACAAGCAAUGAGCGCAAGACGACUUAGUACCGACCAAGGAAUCAGAAGAGUGUUUCGAGGAAAGUCAUUGACCGACGACGUGUUGAUGAGAAGGUUUGUUGUAGAAGAAGAGGCAAUGAUGCAAGUUAGAAGGAGAAAUCAAAUGGAAGUCAUAAGGAGGAGAAGUGUGAUGAGGAGGAAGAGGCUUGGCCCCAGUCCUCUUAGUAGAAUGGUUAUGGCUCAGGUUCAGGAGGAGGAUUAAAACAUUUUCAACUUUCCCCUCAUUGUCUUUUUUCUCUUAAUUAUUAUUUGUGGUCAAAGGGAGAACUGCCACACUCUCUUUCUCUAACACAUCUUUUUCAAGAAUUAUGAUCUGAAGAACUUCAACUUGUUUGACCAUUGGUCUGGAAUUCGUCACCUUGAAAUCUAGAAUUUUUUCGAGAACGGACUUUUUGGAGCCUGCAUCCUCCGUUUUGUAUUUCUUCUCCAAUGACAACCAUAGUUCUUUGGAUGUCUUGCAGGAUGCAUACACAUUGUGAAGAGUAUCAUCUAGUCUUUUAAAAAUGUAAUUUUUGCACAAAAAAUUCACUAUGAGUCGAAGCAUCAAUGGCACUUAUAGUGUCAUUGUCAGGGUUUUUUUUUGGUCAAAAAUGAGACUCUUCCUUCACAACAUGUGCAAGAUUUAAUGUUGUUAUUAGGGCUGGGUUCGGUUUGAAACGGUUCGGUUUUUUGCUAAAAUCGAAACCAAACCGAAAUUUCGGUUCGGUUCGGUCCGAUUUUUUUUCGGUUCGGUUUCGGUUUUUUUUCGGUUUUUUCAUGAUUUUUUUUUUUAAUAUCUGGAGCUUGAAGCACAUUUAUUUUCGGCAUUCGGCUGCAAAUUUACCCUUUCUCUCCAUUAACCCUCGUCGAAACAGUAACAAUUUGAGGCAUGCAACAACUGUUUCUUGUUCCUGUGAUCUGAGGAGGAAAAGGAUUUCAUCCACCCAACUUCAGUGCCCACUGCAAAACGAAAAGAUUAAAACUUUAGUCAUAAAAAAUUCACCGAAAAAUAUAAAGAUUACAAAAAUAAUUGGAAACAUUACCCAGAAAAAAAUUGAACUUCAAACGGAAUUUAAAAAUCAACAAUGACAAAAAAAAAAUCAUCAAAAACAAACAAAAAAGGUCAAUUGAGAAAGGAGUAUGCAAAAAUGAAGAAAAGAAUUGCGAAAAAAGGGGAUAAGCAAAUAAUGAUAUCAAGGGAGAAAAAAAGAAAGGGAAAGAAAUGGGUGAGACUCUCACAACACAAAAAUCAAACAAAUCUACAAUACAAAACAAAACAACAACCCAUAAAUUUACACCAAAAUUUCAGAUUCCCUCCAUGGAAUUUACUCUAAAAAAACCCAUAAAUCGACAAAAUAAAUAAGAGAGAUCGGAGAUCUUACCCUGGAGUGAGAAGAUCGAGAAACGGAGAGAGAAGAAUGGAGAAGAAUGGAGAAAUUGGAGGCAUGGACAAGGAGGGAGUUUGGAGGCGCAGGGACGAGAGAGAGAAGAAGGGAAUGAAAAAAGAAAAGGUAUGGCUGCUACUACUAGUGGCUAGGGUUUUGUUGAUUUCUAAUUGCACAAAAGGCUAUAGAUUUAUAUAUUUAUAAAUAGUUUAGUUAUACAACUAUAACAAAACAAAACCAGUUGCCAUGUUGGUUUCGUUGAAACCUCUAAAUUGGAGCGCACGGGUUCAAACCCACAUGCCUUCAGAACUUUAGAGAUUUUUUAAUUUUUAUAAUUAAAAUAUUAUAAAAAAAAUAAUUAAAUAUAUAUUCGAUUCGGUUUGGUUCGGCUCGGUUUCCGAACCUUAAAAAUCGAAACCGAACCAGCCAUAUUCGGUUCGGUUCGGUUUGACAGUUUUCGGUUCGGUUUUUUUCGAUCUCGGUUCGGUUUGGUUCUCGAUUUUUUUCGGUUUUCGGUUUUUUGAACCCACCCCUAGUUGUUAUGUAGGACAACAUCUUUUGCUUUGCCAACUUUAGAAGUCUCAUCCCUUACAAUUUUGCGGCUUUUUGGUACGAGGGUUCUUGGUGCUACUUGUUAGACAUAUUUUCAAAGAGUAAUACUAGGGAGACUAAAUUUGUAACCUAAAUGUUGGAAACUAAAAGACAUGGAAGUUGAUGAUUGGUUUAUUACUUAAGUGUUGAUAAACGUGAUCAUUUUUAUUAGUGACACAUAAUUUAGUUUGCAAAUUUAGUCUUUCUAGCAUUACCGAUUCUAAAAUCACAAGAACAGACAUUAUGAUCACUAAUAUAAUGAAUGAAUCAAUAUAAAAUAGAGAUGAACUAAUUAUAUUGAUCUUACCUGUAGAAUACGGAAAACAUGGCUCUUCCGGAUGAUAGAGGAAUCGGCGUAUGCAUAAGAAUGUCUUCUACCCUCUCCAAACUAUAUGUUUUUGCUAUGAAUAGGGUUUAACACAUAAUGGAACAAUUAUUGUGAGAGCAAACACAAUCUUUAUAUAGUUGCUAAGAUAUUUUUCAAUCAUGUCUAUUAUUAAAUGAGAAAUACUCAUAUUCACAAUUAUAUAUUUUAUAUCCCACCAUAAUAAGCCUUUACUAAAUAGGGAUCACGUAAUAGGUUAAUCAGAAGUUAAGACUUUAUUACUCUAACCAUAUUUGGCCAUAAGAUCACUUCGACAAUCAAGUCACCUAAAUAUUAAGUUACUCGAGAAUCAAGUGAUUGAUUUACAAAGAUAUUGACACUCAUAAUUAUUCUUACACCACUCAUAAUGACUAACUGCUCCAUAACAUAUUUUCUGUGUAUAAGAUUGUUGGAAUGAGAAAUGUUAAGAAGACUUUCUCAAAAGUGGACUCUCUUUGAACUCUCUACCACCUCAUAUUAUUGACACAAUUCUUGUCCCAACAUUAAAAAAUAUUGUGCCAAAAUAUGAAGUGUCGGAGAGUCCAUAGUCCCGUUUUGAGACUCUUUAUCAUUUCUCUUGUUGGAACAGAGAUAUAUACUUUUCUUGAUAACAGUAAUUAGAAUACGAAAAAAAAUAUUAAUAAGGACAAAACAAAUAAAUAUAAUAUGAAAAUAGAAAGAGAAAUUCACUAGCAAUUGCAAAUAAAUAUAAUAUGAAAUAGAAACAUAAAUUUAUUCUGGUGCGGGUUCGAUUUCUACCAAGUCUUUUUCUCCUAACAGAUAACUGUUUAACCCACUAACGUUAUUGUUACCCUAAACCCCAUUUUUCCUAUGGACACACUUCCUGUUAAGCCUUGUUAUAACUCAACAUUCAGCAAGAUAUUGCAUGUUUUGAGCCCAGUUGGCCGGCAUGAUUUGUGUUUUGGGAUUUUUAAACCCAAAAUGCGUCAUGGUGUGGUUACGCAUAGCCUGCAUAUUCAUGGCUCCAAGCGUCCAAGGUUUUUGUUUGAGACAACUCCGGUGUCUUCCUUGGUGGUACAUAACACAAGACAACACUCUCACCUUUUUAAAUUGAUGAAGACGCAUGACUUGUAAUGAUAAAUUGAUGAAGACAAAGCUCCAUUUUGGACUCUGUCUUUUGUUUUUAGUAAUGAUAAAUGUAAUUGAAUUACUUAGUGGGUUAGGAUCGAGUAUACAUUUUUUUUAAUAAACGAUAUUAUCUAGCUAAAUGGUGUGAAAGUGAGGUAAGUCUUACAAUAGGCUAGCAAUAAUAUGGUUUAAAUUCGUCUUUGACAAAAAUCGAACUUAAAACAUUUCACUUACAAGUGAAGAAUAACACCACUAGACCGUAGUACUAAGUGGCAGAUCUGGUAUACUAAUUUUUUAUACACAUUUUGACAUAUAUUUCAUAAUGUAUCUUAACGAUCCGAACUGUUUAUAUUGUAGCAUCAUUAAUAGAUCAUCUUUACAAAAAAAUUAGAAAAUUUUAAAAUCAUUAAGACAUUUUUUUUUGUAAUUUAAAAACGGACACAUAUAGUCUACAAAGAAAUACUAAAAAGAAAGGUUUUUUUUAUCCAAAAUUGUCAAUGAGAUUUGAAAUCGAAAUAAGUGGUCCCUGAGUUUGUCCACCAUCAAUCGUUUUGGUUCUUGUGUGAAAAUAUCUAUUAAAUAAGGACCAAAAUGAUAAAAAUCACUCAAUUUAAUAAACAAUUGGCCAAAAUGAUUUGACAAAAAAUUGAAGGUAUUUUUGUUAUUUUCUCCUUAUUUAACGAAAAUUUUUCAUAGAAUGAUAAAAAUGAUUGAUUGUUAACAAACUUAAUGCUAAUUCUAUCAAUUUUAAAUUUCAGAGACCAAAAUAAGGAAUUAUGCCAAUCUCUCUGAUCAUUUUGGCUAAAACCAAAAAGAAAUACUAUUUUUCUUUCUUGAUCUUUUAGGUCGCCUAAGGUAUCUAAAAGGUUAAUUCCGAAAGAAAAAAAAAAGUAUCUAAAAGGCGAUAAGGUUUGGUUGAACAACGUAGUUGACCUAACAAAACUAAUAUCCAUAAUUAGGAAAAUCUUUUGACUAUUUAUUAUUUAAGAGGAAUAAAUUAAUUAAACAUUGUGGCAUCUCUCUUGUCCGUGAUAUGCAUUAUCAUAUUGUCACGCACGUUAUGUGGACUAGUAGCAUUUAAUAUUGUCACAAAGUAAUAUUUAGUAUAUAUACCAACGAAAUUGGAUCCUCUCCGAGGCAACCCCUCGGGAUCCUUCUGAUCGGUGUUAGUGGACCGUUGAAUUUUUAUCCAACGGCUACAAACAGGGGAUCAUCUAAAAGUUAGAAUAAUUGUAUUCGUUGGAUAAAAAUCCAACGGCCCACUAACCCCUAUCAGGAGGAUCCCGAGGAUUUGUCUCGGAGAGGAUCCAAUUCCUAUACCAACGACCCCUUCCAUUCUUUUUUUGCCACUUAAUUUUAAUUAUAUGUAUUGUCAAUUCCAUCCCAUACUCCUUUUUUUAUUUACCAAAGAUAGCUCUAAUGAGUUAAGACGGUCAGCUGGGAAAUGUUUUUAAUAUGAUUGAAAUCGUUUUUGAUAAAAUUUUGAAACCAAUUUUUAGUGAAAAUUUAAGUGGAUCUCGAAAAAACACUUUAAAUGUUUCUUGCAAGAAUCAAAUAUUUGAUGUUUCUUCCAAAAAACAUCUAACAUGUCUUUGGAAGCUAAAAAUCAAUUCAAUCAAAAGAGUUUUUAAUCAUUUUAAAAGUGCUUCAAAACGAGCUCUUAGUUGUUAGUAAGGAGGGGAAUUAAUGGGAGUCAUACUUGCAUCAUGAUGAAUAGAUAUAAUUGUUUUCUGUUAUUGUGAUAAAACGUCAUAUGUAUCACCGUAUUCCAUUAUCAUUAAAGACAAAAAAUAUUUGAAAUUGAACAAAAAUCUUUUUAAUAUAACCAACUUUCAACACACGGGUCAUCUUUGUAGCAUAGUUUGGGAAGUGUGCGUGGAAAUUUGGAUCGUAGAGUAAAAGUAAUGGAAAAGAGAAGAUAAUUGUGAUGAAGGGUCGACUUUCAUCUCCUAUACUGCAACCCAAUUUAUGGCUACAUUUUUUUUUGGUUUACUUGGGUUUGUUUGUUUGAAUUAAGGGUUGCUAUUCACACUUUUAUUUUUACAUUCCAUAUACUUUGUUAAUUUUUGUUCAUUAAUUUUGUUCAAUUCAUUUGAUGGGAUAUCUGAAAAUUUAUAAUGAUAUGUGAAAAGUAAAAUUGGAUGUGUGGAUAUCACCACUCUUGAAUUAAAUAGUAAACUAGCCAAACUCUCUCACAUCUAUAGCUUUUAUAGAAAAAGCAAUUAGCAACGAUAUUUGGAUUUUAGCCCAAUUUGAGGUUUAAGUGAUGAACUAAAAAUAUGAGUAUGGAGCAAUGAUCCUAUUCAAUAACAUCAUUAAAUAUUUCUUCCAAAGUAAAGGGUUUAACGAGGCAAAAAAAGUGAUGAAAGUUCCAAUGUUGUUACCAAAAGGAUCACUGCUCCACAUUGUAAUAAAUUCACGAACCAAUGCUCAUGAAUUUUUAAUUUAAGAACCAAAACUCUAAGUAUGCUAAAGUUAGGAAGUCAUUGCCCCAAUUAUCAUAUCAAUUUUCGUUAAUAUGAUAAGAAUAUUUUGCUCAAGUAUUGAGUUUGACACUUAUUUCCAUUGAAAUGUCAAGUUAUCAAGAGCUUAUAUGUUAAAAAUUUAAGAAUUAAUCAAGAAAUGUAAUUUUUUUUAAAAAAAAUCACGAAACGACUUAAUAAAAUGCCUCUAAAUUUUGUCAAAUGAUAGGUGUAACAUCCCACAUCGCCCAGGGGAAUAGAUCUUGUAAGCCUUAAAUGUAUAUUCUCAUCUCUACCUAGUACGAGGCAUUUUGGGAGCUCACUGGCUUCGGGUUCUGUCGGAACUUCGAAGUUAAGCGAGUUCGCGCAAGAGCAAUCCCAAGAUGGGUGACCCACUUUGAAGUUUUCAUGUGAGUUCCCAAAAAUAAAAUCGUGAGGGCGUGGUCGGGGCCCAAAGCGGACAAUAUCGUGCUACGGCAGAGUUGAGCCCGGGAUGUGGUGGGGGCCUGGGUCGGGAUGUGACAAUUUGGUAUCAGAGACAAUCCCUGGCCAGAGGUGUGUCGACGAGGACGUCGGGCCCCUAAGGGGGGUGGAUUGUAACAUCCCACAUUGCUCAGGGAAGUGAAUCAUGUAAGCCUUAAAUGUAUAUUCCUAUCUUUACCUAGCACGAGGCCUUUUGGGAGCUCACUAGCUUUGGGUUCCGUCGGAACUUCGAAGUUAAGCGGGUUCACGCGAGAGCAAUCCCAGAAUGGGUGAGUCAUUGGGAAGUUCUCGUGUGAGUUCCCAUAAACAAUACUAUGAGGGCGUGGUCGGGGCCCAAAAAGGACAAUACCGUGAUACGGCAGAGUCGAGCUCAGAAUGUGUGGGGGCUCGGGCCGGAAUGUGACAAUAGGCAUUUAGAUCACUUUUAUUUGUUAACAAUUUAAGAAUUCAAGACGUAAAUUACAUGGAAGGUGUUUAUACCAUACUUAGGGCCUCCAUAUUUAGAUCUCAUACAAAUAUUCGGGGGACUUAAAUGUAAUUAUGUAAUAAAGAAAUGGGUAAAUAUGUAAUAAGUGAGGAGCCCCUAUUCUAUAAAAGGACUCCUCACCCUCACAAUUGGAAGAUGCCAAUUCCUAGGCCUUCUCACCCUCUCUCAAAGCUCUCACUCUCAAAGCUCUCACUCCCUCAGAAAUACAAUAUCAGUGUGAACGUAGCCCAAACCUUGGGGUGAACCACAAUACACCUUGUGUUAUUUACAUUUCUUGCAAAUUCACGGUCGGAUUUACGUUGUUCCAAGACCUCCAGUUUUGUGCAUCAAUAUUUGACGCUGUCUGUGGGAAACAACACAAAAAGCUAUGUCGGUUUUCUCUCAUUUUUCAUCUCACCACUGUCCACCGUGGAUCUGCAAAACCCAAUAAACACCAACCCCCCUCUUCUUUCUUAUCUGCUCUGUCUCAGAAGUGUCUAAGUCUCAAUUGGCCCAAAACCAAGACCCAUCAACACCAAAACACACACUCUGUGUGUAUGUGCGUGCACUGCUUUAACCUUAUCUUUACUCUGCAGAAAGAGAAAAAGGAAGAGAGAUGGAUGAACUGCUAGCGUGGGUAGCAGACAUAGUGAGAGGAGGUGGCGGGCAAGACAACAAAUUGGUCGCAUUUCAGCAUUCAAUCAUGGCUCUCGAUCUAACCGGUUCCACAAAUUUCCCAAAUACACCAAACAUCAAAACCCUAAUCGGCAAAAACUACGACCGCAAGCUAACCCAAUCAAUCCAAAACCUUUUAUCCGAAAUUCCCAAGCAAAGCCCCAAAUGCUCCGACUUUGCUGAGGAAUUCUACGAAAAGAUGCAAGCUCGAGUCGACCCGCAUCUCGAAUCAACCUGGGUCUACGUGGCAUUGGCCUUUCGCAGCUGGAAUCAUCCGAAAGACGACCAUUUGGACCGAGUAUCGACUGCAGAUGACUUGUUUCAGCUGUUGUCGAUGUGCUCUGCUUCUUGCGAUUCUUCCAAGAGUGUCGCGAUGCUUGCUCCGGUGGUUCGCCAGGUGUACAAUGUGGGUGUUGAUUUGUUUAAGAUGGACUUGUCAUGGAAGAGAGAGAAGAAAGUGAUGAGAAAUGUUAGGGAUUUUGUGGGAACGAUUCUUGGCUAUAUAAAUCUGUGUUCCUUCGAAGAUUCGGGCAGUUUGAUUACGCCUUUUUCGGGUUUAAUUCGUGUUUGGAUGAACUCAAAUGAGGGGUUGGAGUCAUUCUUGCCUUUAGUGAGUAGUGACAUUUUUGGAGGGCUUAAUGAGGGAGAAUGUGAAUUACUUAGCUGGAGUUGUUAUGGCGGAGGUGUUUUUGUUGAAACUCUGCUUGGAUUUCAAAUUCGGGACUUCGGGGUAGGAGUUGGAGAAAGAGUUAAGCACUUAGGCUAUCGGUUCCAUUACAACGUUUGGGAAGUGUUACCUUUUCGGAUAUUGCAGCAAAUUGUUUGCUAUGACAGUUCGAAGAUGCUACCAGAAACUCUUCUGGGCAAGCCAAUCUGUGAGCAUAAACGAAAGCUGGGUUUUGAGUUAGCUUCUGAGCCAGAAGCUGAAGCCGACGCAGGAGCAUAACCCAAUCCGAAUAUGCUACCAGAAGGCACGAUACCAGCACAGCAUCACCAUCGUGGCCAACCUGCAGAUUCAAGGGUGCACAUGCAUGACAACUCAGAGACAGAAAUAGAGGGUCAAGAAACAGAAAGAAAAUCAGAAAGAAAAGCAAAAAGCAGAAAAGGAAAAGCCGAAAAGAAGAUGCUAUACUAUUCCACUACUCCACAAUCCCACGGGAUAACAUGAUUAAAGAUAAGAAGAUGCCCACCAAGUUUUCCCGUCUCCACUUUCUGUUAGACCAGAAGAUGCCCAUCAACAUGCUGAAAACAUGUAAUUUAUUUUUCUUAUCUUUCGGAGACAUCUGUAUAAACCCAAUCAGAGGGUAAUAAUAAAAAAAUUAAAAAAAAAAGUAAAGCCCAAAAUAAAUAGGCUGGAAUGUUGUGUGGAGAGUGAAGGCCCAUAAGCCCAAAAUAACACCAACCAGGUGAUCAAAAGUAAGCCCAUUACUCCACAAUUAUUCGGCAAUCUGCUGCUAUUACCACCAACAAGGUGAUGAAAUGUACAACCCGUACUCUAAUAUCAUUUGGCAACUAGCCAUUCAUGCCACCAACUAGGUGAUGAAAUGUAUAACCCGUACUCUCUUCAUGCCACCAACCAGGUGAUCAAAAGUAUGCCCAGUACUCCAAAUUAUACAUGAGCAUUACUCAUGUCAUUCAUACAUAAACAUUCAUGAGCAUCACUCAUGACAAUCAUACGUAAACAUUCAUGACCAUCAUUCAUGUCAACAUUCAUGACCAUCACUCAUGUUAACAUUCAUGAACAUCACUCAUGACAACAUCCAUGAACAUCACUCAUGUCAAUCAACAUAAAUAUUCAUGAGCAUCACUUAUGUCAAUCAGCUUCAAAAGCUUCAUUUACAGAGCUCUAGCUUCAAAAGCUUUAUUUACAAAGCUCUAGCUUCAAAGCUUCACUUGCAAAGCUUCACCUACAAAGCUUCAAUGCAGGAUAUACAAAUACCGCCUUCGAACAACCGCCACUUCGGCCCAUACAUGGAUUCAAUUUGAAGUCUCCAGCCAACGGACUCUAUUGACCGAAGACUUGGGGGACUACAUUAUGUACCAUAUAUUGGGCCUUAACUGGGCCUCAUGAAAAAUACUUGGGGGACUUAGCCCAUUAUUUAUGUAUUAAGGAGCGAGCUCUUAUUCUAUAAAAGGGACCCCCUCACCACCAUUAGAGAGCAACGCCGCCAGUUGAGCAACCGCCUUGCCGCGAGCAUCACUCCUAACCUAUCACUUAUGUAUUGAAGAGCGAGCCCUUAUUCUAUAAAAGGGACUCUCUCACCACCAUUAGAGAGCAUCACCGCCUACUGAGCUAUCACCUCGCCGCGAGCAUCAACUCUAGCCCAUCAUUUAUGUAUUGAGGAGUGAGCCCUUAUUUUAUAAAAGGGACCCCCUCACCUUCAAGCGCCACAAGUCCAGCCAACCAAGGCAACAUAAGCCACAAGCCGAGCAGCCUCGCAACAUGUGCUACUUAUAGUUGAGCAUCAUUUCACUUUGAGCACCGCCUCAUAUCAAGUAUCAGUUCAAGACGACAUCUAGUUACUUCGGCUCACACAUGGACUGAAUUUCAAGUCUCCAGCCAAAAGACUCUCUUGAUUGAAGACUUAUGGGACUACUGUUUAUACCAUACUUAGGGUCUUCGUAUUUAGAUCUCGUACAAAUACUCGGGGGACUUAAAUGUAAUUAUGUAAUAAAGGAAGGGGCAAAUAUGUAAUAAGUGAGGAGCACUUAUUCUAUAAAAGGACUCCUCACCCUCACAAUUGGAAAAUGCCAAUUCCUGGGCCCUCUCACCCCUUCUCAAAGCUCUCACUCUCAAAACUCUCUCUCCCUCAGAAAUACAAUAUCAGUGUGGACGUAACCUAAACCUUAGGGUGAACCACGAUACACCUUGUGUUAUUUACAUUUCUUGCAAAUUCACGGUCGGAUUUACGUUGUUCCAAGACCUCCGGUUUUGUGCAUCAAUAGAAGGGUAAGAAACAAAUUAGUGAAACUCACUAAUUAAAAUGUGGAGAUAUUUAGUACAGAUAAUGUUGUUGGUACUAAAAAUAAUCUUAUCGUUCACUCCUCAUUAAUAUAUUUUUCUUUGUAAAUAUAAAAAAGUUUGGAACAAUGAAAAUUUUGGUAGAAUAUGCCUUGAAAGUUGCUUAAUAGGUUUUGGAAUACUUAUGUUGUUAAAUUCUUGUUUAGUGUAGGAAGGUUUAGCAUGUGUUAUGUCCACUCAAUCAUAAGUAUGACUCGUCUCAAGUCAUUAGUGUUAGACACUAAGACGAACACAUAGGUGUUCAAAUUAUUAAGUUCAUUGAACUACGAUCAACGAAGAGUUUUUAUAUACAUGUCAUAUAAAAACUCAUAACUUGCAAUAAUACAAAAUUGUCAUUUGAUCUGAGACACCACAGUUGUUUUAUGGGUAGGUUUUUGAUCAUUUGACAAUGUAACAAAGAUCAUGCCCCAUCUCAAAAGGCAGGCAGGACAAGGCGGCUACGAUCAAACGACGUAUUAGUAAGUGAGCUUUUGUUUUCAAACUACAUAUCAUGUAUAUGGUUUUCAUAAUUGCUUUUAUGAAUGCUUGUAUAUCAUGCCAUGACUUUUGCUUAGAAAAUGCAAAUAUUACAUACAUUGUUGAUGUUGUGAUUUAUGAGUUUUGAAAAUCCUAUUAUGUCAUGAUCAUACAUACAAUUCUAUCUUCUCAGCGCUCGACUGUGUACGGUCGGAAAGUAACCAGAUCAAGCGCUUAAUUUGACAGUACUUGGGUCCCACUGUAGAUUUCCUUUCACAUUGAUGAUCGACGAGUGGAAUGCAAUUGACGUUUGCACCUGUCUCUUGGAGCUCCAUGGUAGAAAGUUGUUAGGUUUUUCAUUUGGAUGAAGCAGUCGGAAAGUACUUUAAGUGAAAGCUCGGUCCUCAUGGUCGACAUUGAGGAUUGAUAGUUUAUUAGCUUGAGCUGUUGGUGCCAAUGCUCAUCAGCCAUCCUUGACGCACCACUCGGUAAAUAAAAGCUCUUAGGCUGGUCUAUGCGCUUAAUAGCUUGAUAUGUCGACUUUGUAGGUAUUAAUGGGCUUCCUUUGCAAGACCUUGUGUCAACGAUACCUAAGAGCAUUUUCAAAGAAGAUGUCAAAUUUUAAAUAUCAAAAUGAUGUUUGAUGGUUUAUGUGGUAAUUUAAUAUUUUGCACAAUAUUUUACUCUACCCGAUAUGUUAAUAAUUACGUUAUUUAACAAUUUUUUUUAAUCUUUUUGUGGCGUCCAAUAUUGAGGCAACCAAUCAAAUACUUGAAAAACAUAACAACAUUUAUUAUAUUAUAUUAAUCUAUUAAAAAAGUAUUUAAUAAAUUUGACAUUUGCUUUCAAAUUUGAUAGCAAAAGGCUUUGCCUUCAAUUGAUUCAGCGCCACAUAAGAAAUUGAAGGUUCGAUGUUGUACGUCUACAUGGUAGUUUUGACAUUUCUUUAAAAAUGCUCUAAGACUCCUAAUUUAGGAGUAAAUAAAGAAGAAUACUAUUGUAGCGUAAUAUCAAGUAGAGAAAUAGUGUAAUAAAUUAAGAGAAUAAAAAAACAUAGAGAGUGAAGGGAGGCCAAGUGUUGUAAUAAGUGGGAAUAGUCUGGUGUGGUGGCCAAAAUAGUCUUCCCAUUGAAGUAAAGUUAAGUUGAAGUUGGGCACAUUGAGUGAGAAAGUGGCCAACCUCUAUUUCUCUUUCUCUCACUUCCAUCAUCAUGGCAUCAGACACACAAUGACACACACAGACACACAAAUCUAAAGGCUUAUAAAUCCAGCAAAAGGCAGAGGGUGGGAAAGUUGAAAAGUAAAAUCCAUUCUUUCAUACCAGCAAGAACCAGAUUCAAAGUUGGAGAGAGAGAGAGAGAGAGUCAUAAUUCCAUCAUAAACAACUACCGCUAACCAUUCAUUUUGAUUAAUAAUAUAUGUGAAAAAAAAAGAAAAAAGAAAAGCUUUUUGAUGGGGAAAAGAAACAAAGGAGGGGGAGGCUGAGAGACUCUUCCGUCUUCUCGUUGCUUGCUCUUUCUGCGUGUCUGUCUGUCCUUCUGGUUGUAGCAGCAGCUGAUUUGUAAAGGGAUCCGGCCGAGUGCUGUCUUUGGAAGCUUGGUUGGUCGUCUUGGAGGUGGAGGAGGAGAUAUAAGGUACAGAUGCCUUGCUUGAAUCAUUAUCUUACUCUGUCUAAUUAUCUUUAUUAUUUUUUGUCUUGGAGGAGCAGCAGAUGCAUAUAAAAUGGUUCUCAAUUUUAAAUAAUUUAAUUUAAUUAUAUAUAAAAAAAGAGAAUUUAAAAAAAAGAAGGAGAAAAGAGUCUUGCUGUCAGAGCAAUUGUUCUCUUCUGAGUUCUGAGUUCUGACUUGGGAUUUGAUUCUCCUGUGAGUCCUUUCUUCUUGGGAUGUGAUUUCAUGUUUGUAAGAGUAAGAAAAUUGUUUUUUUUUAUUUUUAUUUUUUUGGAUAAAUAAAUAAUAUUAUCUUGAUAUUCUGUUGUUGUUGUUGUUUGGUUUGUGUUUUGGUUGUCUGGUUUUCUUAAUUUAUUGAGUAAAUUAAAUAAGGAACGAUAAUGAUGUCCUUAAUUUCACUUUCAUGGGUGUUUGUACUUUUGUUAAAUCAUAGGAUCUGGAUUAUCAUCUGAUUUGAUUGUUCAUCAAUAAUAUGUGUUUUUUUCUUGUUGUCUGUCUGUCUGCCUUCCUGUACAAGGAUUUCUUUCUUGCUUUCUUCUUCUUCCAUGGAAGUUAACGAUCUUCGAUACAGCAAUGUUGCGCUGCUGAUCAAUCUAGUAAUUGUUUUGGUUUUGAAUCAUUUUUAAUUUAACAAAUUAAUUGAUGCCUGAUGGUUGGUUUGUCUGUCAAUGUCCCCUCCCCCUCCUCCCUCUGAUUAGUGUAUGUGGGUGGGGACAUUAAGCUUAAACAAUCAAAGGGGGACACAUAAUUCAAAUUGAUAUAUAUGUACGUAUAUGCGUGUUUUGUUUAAGCCAGGCUUCUUUUGUUAGUGAUCGAAACAUCGAUCCAAAUUAGAUGUUUUCAUCACUAUGCAAAAAGGUAACUUACUAGCACCUGUAAAUUCUCAAGUGCUCUAUCUUGUUCCUUUCAGGUAGGAACGGUAAUGCUAGGAACAUGGGAAAGAAAGGGAGUUGGUUUUCCGCCAUAAGGAGGGUUUUCUCUCCUCAUUCCAAGGACAAGGACAAGGACAAGGCAGUCAAUGUAAGAGAAUAUGGCCUAUUUCUUUUUCCAAUGGAGUUUUCUUGAUUUAUAUCACAACUUGUUUGAAUGUCUCACAUAGGCAGACUAAUCAAAGGUUGGCCUUUUGUAAUUGUGGUUCUAUUCGGACUACUUUUUCCCAAAUUUCUAACUUUUAAAUAAGUCUAUUCGGGGGCUUGUCUCAGAAACAUGAGUCAGCUGCUAACUGUAAUGAAUGUGCUUGUAGCAUUUGUACUAGCGAGAACUGUGUAUAGAUGGUGUUUAGUAUUUACAAUAUGAUUGUUUUUUUGGCGAUAAAACAAUCAUAAAUUCAUACUGCAGUUUAUACGUUCAAUUCAGUUUAUUGUAUGUCUCCAACAAAAGACGGUUCAACUUUGAUUAGAGUGGUGCACAUUUUUCUUUUAAAUUUGUGUAGUGCAUAAUCAGUUUUUUUUCUGCUUUUCGAGUGCAGAGGUAAAAAACGUGCAAAAUAUUCGCUAACUCAAACUAAAUCUCUUUGUUAAUCAUAUUGCAGGGUUCGGAGAGGAAAAACACAAAAGAAAAGAAGAAGGGGCUUGGGAAACUAAAUCGUGGAGAGACCAAUUCAUUCAUUCCGCUGUUCAGAGAACCAAGCAGCGUUGAGAAAAUUUUUGGGGAUUUUGAGAGGGAGCAACAAAGAGUAACUUUUAGGCCUCCUACACCUGAUGAGCAACCAAAGACCCCACCAUUUGUGCCUCCUAGAGUUGCUUCUCCGAGGGUUGGUUCACCAAGGGCUGCUUCUCCAAGGUCUUCUUCCCCAAGAGCUCCUUCUCCAAGGGCUCUUUCCCCAAGAGCUCCUUCUCCAAGGGCUCUUUCCCCAAGAGCUCCACCUCCAAGAGCUCCCCCUCCUCCAAGAGCUCCUCCUCCAAGAGCUCCUCCUCCAAGAGCUCAAUCUCCUAGCACCUUUCAUCAACAUAAGGAGAUUAGCUACAGACCUGAACCAACUCUAAGGAACCACCAUGCCUCAGCUACUAAAAUUCAGGCAGUCUAUAGAGGUUAUAUGGUAAGCUUACUUUUCACCCGUUAGCAUUCAAGGGUGGGGUGGGAUGUUACGUGUAAUGUGAAAACUGGACUAUACGAAGGUAGAAUUCAAUAUAGGAAAACCUAAUCCCUCUGUUCAGUUCAUCUAAUUGAAAGCUUUCUAGUGGUUCUACUCUUACUGUGGCCACAUAAGACAAUGCAUAGAUAUGCCCUGUCAAAAUAAAUAACUCAAAUUCAGACAUCACUUUUGGAGAACGUUUUAGGUAAAAGGUACUAGACUAACCAAUUUUCCAAAAAUGUAGCCAUUAGUAUAAUAUCACGUGCUAUCUAGAAUCUGGUGUUUUGUGUCCUGACUUUAUAUAUAAAGUUGCAAAUUUUAUGUGCAUAAUUAGUUUUUAGAAGCACAGCUGCAGUUCAAAUGUAAGUGGUGGGCAAAGGGUUUGACCAGCGACCAGAGAUAAGAUUUUGUUUGGUCCGUAUUUAUUUUUCUGGUUUACACAUUAAAACUUUAUUUAAAAGGUACAUUUUCUUCCCGUAGAGGUGUAUUGUAUAACUCUAGAGGUAGAGCGCACAGGAGAAAGAUAAAAAAAGACUUCUGCAUUACUGUGCAGUUGUCAUUCUGUCCAAGAUCAUGCUACAUCGUUCUUGGGAAGGUUUUGGUACCAUGCGGAGUUGUCUUGAGCAAGCAUUUGAUAUGAUCUGGAUCAAGUCUAGGUUUUGUUAACUACAGGUUAUGAACUUCCCGGGAGCCUGUAAUGAACUUAGUCUACUUUUUAUACAGGCAAGAAGAAGCUUUAGAGCUCUAAAGGGUCUAGUGAGGCUUCAAGGAGUAGUAAGAGGCCAGAACGUGAAGCGUCAGACGAUGAAUGCCAUGAAAUACAUGCAACUCUCGGUGCGUGUUCAGUCUCAAAUUCAGUCACGGAGGAUUCAGAUGUUAGAAAACCAAGCACGACAUCAAGUCCAAAACAAGUAUGACAAAGAUGUGGAAAGCACCUUCGGCAAAUGGAACUUGAGCCAGCAAGUAUGUCUCCAUUCAUCUGUUUGUUAUUCCAUGCCUAUCUGUUUCAUUUGGUUCCAAACAUUUAAGCUCAUAGCUAGUGUAGGGGGCCCUAAAACAAUUAUAAGGUUGAUCACUAACAUUACACUCUGCACAUCCACACACUAACACUUCUUCAUUUGUACGUUAAUUUGGUCAAUAAUUUGGGGGAAACAUGGACCUUACGCAUGUAAAUAGAACAUAAAAUUAAUAGAAGCUAUGGUUCCGAUGAACAACAGCUAAGCACUUAGCCGAGUUAAUGGUUAAUGGGCCUUGCAAUAUGUAUCAAGCUGAACACAGCACGAUGCUUAUUGCAUUUAUGUCACUUCAAGGAAAGCUUAAGCUGGUGGAGAAUUGGCCGAAAAUGUAUAGUGAUCUUAUAUUAUGAAACAAGAUCUUUUAGGCCGCAUUAGUUCUCAAAACAGAUUAGAUGAACCAUCUUUUGAUAUGGAAACCUGUAGACUCACAUGAUUAUAACAAUCUAAAAGAAGAUUACUCUACUUUUUGUGCUAAAAAAUGAAAAAUAAACAUAUAAAAACUCCGGUACUAUGUCUGUAAUGUGGUUAAGCACAACAUAUCUAUAAAACAAAGUAGUGCUAACAAUUUCAAGGAUUGUGCUCUAGUCUGAGACGGCCAAUAACGAGGAAUGGGAUGAUAGCUUGCUAACUAAGGAGGAAGUGGAGGCAAGGUUGCAGAAAAAGGUUGAGGCAGUCAUGAAAAGAGAGAGAGCAAUGGCUUACGCAUACUCCAACCAGGUAUUCUUUCUGCACUAGUAGUAGUAACCCAACUGAAUCCACUUUCUAGUCUCAUUUUCUUCAACUGUAUGUUAUUCUGCGUUCACUUUUCUGUCAAUCUUCACUUUUAUGUUAAAGAAAAAAAAAAGAACAUAGUGGCUUAAGGGGUUAAUUGGUUUCUUUUGUGCAGUUUUUAAUGCAAUUGAUAGUUAUCAUAUUUCUUGAUGUUGCCUUGUACUUUUGUGUACCAAAAACAGCUGUGGAAGGCUACUCCUAAAUCAGGUCAAACACCUAUAGCUGAUAUCCGGUCUGGGGGAUUUCCGUGGUGGUGGAACUGGUUGGAACGUCAGAUCCCUCCAGUAGACCCUCCUGUGCCAGCAACCAAUGCAUUGAAAACUUUUCAGUUUACUCCUCCAAGACUAGGAUCAGAGCGAAAGCCAAGCCCCCUGGCCCAGUCAAGCAAUCAAGGGGAACAUCCUUUUCCAUUUGAUAACAAUUUUGACACACCAAAAUCGUCAGCAACAACCAUUAAUCUGACAACAAUAAAACCAGCACGAACCCCGCCUCCUACUAAUAUGAGUAGGACUCCACAAGCAAACAGGUCUGGGCUAUCGAAGUACAGAAGAACACCAGCUGAUGGAGCUGAAUCCCCUUUCGGUUUUCCACUCAAGGAUGAUGCCAGCCUCACAAGCUGCCCCCCAUUUUCGGUUCCAAACUACAUGGCUCCCACGGCAUCAGCCAAAGCGAAAGCACGAGCUAGUAGCAAUCCCAGGGAUAGAUUUGUGGGGACACCGACCAGUGAGUCCAAAAGGAGGCUUUCCUUCCCUUUGACACAAGGUAUUGGGUCUUUCAAGUGGAACAAAGCUUCUUUUUUCUCUAACAACAAGGAUUCCAGCUCUCCAAUGAAUUUAGAUAAGAACCGGUCUUUGCAAUCUAUCGGAAACACGAGCAUAGAUUCCACGGUUUCGAUGCCUGCGGCUCCACGAGCUGGGAGGAAGCCGUUUAAACGAUUUGUGUGAUUCAUUUUCGUAUAUUUUUCGAACUUUUCUUGUACCUGUCAUUCAUUGCGGUGUUGAUUUUGUUUUUGAGUGUACGGUAAUAGACUUGAGAGUUGCAAAACACUGAUGUAAAAUGAUAAAAAGAAGGGAAAUAUGUGUGUCGUGUGUGUAAUAUAUAUGAUGCUUUGGAUUAUUGGAUGUAACACGAUUUGAAUUUUUACAAGUUUCAUGGACAAUUUUAUUCUACUUUUGCAUUUCUUCUACGGCUUUUUUCGGUGCACAUAACGUUCGAUGUACAUAACUGGUGCACAACGUUGCUCGCGUAGUAUUCAAUUCUCGGGUUUUACAAAGCAAAGCGAGAACAGAAAAACCAAAGCGAGCAACAGCAAACGGAACACGAAAACCCGAAGAGCGACCGAGCCUGUCCGGGAUGACACUCACAGAAACUGAACAGAAUUAUUCACAUUUUUGUACAUGUUCGUAGGAAAUAGCCAGAUGUAUACAGAAACAGGGAGAGGAUUAAAUUCUAUUGGAUCAUCAGCUGUACAGAAUGAAAGCAAAUCAAAGUCCCAAUCUCCCGCUAAAAGGAUAUAUAAAUGUUUAAAAGUAAUGUUCACAUGUACAGUUGGGAUUCUUCCAUCACGUCGAUCUGCCUACGCUGCAGGGAUCAGGAAGGAGGCGGGGUAUGAAUGGUGGUGGUACCAGGUAACAUGGCUACUGUCACUACGAAGUAUUCACAGCCAAUAGGGAGACCAUACGGGUUCAAUCCUGAAUUCAAGGCCAAACGGUCGGUUCCCGUGUCAGAUGUUAGCUCGUGCUCAGACCGGGUUGAACUAGGAGCCAUUGGCUUCACAGUCUGCCGUUCGAUGUGCACAAUUUGUCCAACAAUGUAGUUAGGUUGAUUUGGGAGAUGAUCGGUAAACAAGGCUACAGAUUCAGCAGACAGGUAGUAGUUGGAGCAAUUCCGAUUAAUUGCCUCGUACUGCCCAAAUGUGUUUAGAACAAAUGCAGCAAUCUCGUGGACUUCCAAGCGACCGAAAGAUAUCUUCUCUUUGUUUGCCUGCAGCAAAAUUAACCACCUGUUAAUUCAUCAUUUAGCCGGAACAGAAUUCAGGUCACAGUUGAUGCCUAUGUCUCUACUCACUAAACCAUGAGUAGAGAAUAUUACAUUAAACCAUUUUACUUUUUCUUGGUAUCAAGUAACAAAUAUUUCUUUUCGGUUGAACAAAAUAUCCCUCUAUUAUCAAUUACCCGAUUCUCAAGUUAACCCACUAACGCCAUCGUUUGUCCAAAAACAAAAUCAUAAUACCUGCUUCUCGAGUUGAUGCUUUGUGUACAAUGUUUUAACCAGCUCCUUCUUCUCUUCCAAUUCUUUUCUAAGUUGUUCAUUUGCAGCUUCAACCUUUGGAUACUUGUCAAGUAGCUCUUCACGGUGCCUUGACAAGAAGCCAACUCUAUCUGCCAGGACCCGAAUACAUUUCCGAAAUUCAACAGUACCAUCAUCUUCAUUGUCGUUAAUAGAACUGAAACAAUUCAAAGCCCAAAAUCAGAGUCACCUCCCAAUGUCAAUAACUGAUCUAAAAGUAUUCAUUAAAUUAAAGUACCCAUGAAAACUCCCGGAAACAUGGACAUCUUUUCCUCCAUUAUAAUGUUUUCUAGUGUGGGGGUUUCUCCCCAAUGUACUUAUUUCAUUUCUUUUUCACAUUAAAAUGACCUGGUUAUGUACACUUUCAGAAGGAAUGCUAUCAAGGUUGCAUGAGAUAUAGCGUCAGACCUCAUUAGUGAGAAUUUGAGAUAAUAAAAUUUGUUUUAGUUCUUGUCAAAACGAAUAACAGAAUUUGUUCAAAACAGAUCAAAGUAAUUUUAGUGGUGUGGAAAACUUACUUGCCCAGAGAUUGUGCUAAGGUGCGCAAAGAUUCAUUAAAACUAGCCACCCCACCCUGGGCAUAUACACAGCUCCUAAGUCUUUCAAAAAGGCCACGCAUUUUCACAGCAGAUGCGCGCAGUGCACUAUACUCCGAGGCCCUACGAUCAGCCGCACAAAGAUGGGUUUGAGCUUCCUCUCUUGCCUCAUGCAAACAAUUCUCCAAAUGCGCACAAUUCAUCUGGCAUGGGCAAAGCAUGAAAAUAUACAAUCAAAAUAUAGAAGAGCUAAGAAUUAAUAAAACCAAAUAUUUAUAUCCAUGGAAUCAAAUCAAUCCCUCCUACACCCCCAAAAAUUUUGAAAAUUUUCAGAAUAAUCCAUGGCCAUAACAGUACUGUUGCUGUAUCCCACAGUCAACAAAUCAGAAAAGUCAAUGAUACUCCAACGAGUAUCCAAUGUGUUGGACAGUAUCGUAGGGGUGUGGUAUCAAAUACGCACGCUUCCCUAAUUUUCAAGUAUCUGUGCAACAAAGUAUCUACCAUGACAGCAUAAUCCAGCUUUUUUUAAGUAUGUAUUAUGUAUAGAUAAAAAGGGAAGAACUCUAGGGAAAUAAAGUCGACCAUUCUUUGUAAGAAUUGUUCUCAAGGAAACAAAAGCAGGCUAGGGAUCAUAAUUUAGCCUUUUUAAAUACCAACUUCUAUUGAACAGUCAUGUUGAAAAAUAUUCAAAAGAAAAAUAUAAAUCAGGUGAAUUAAGUUCACCGUGACUUCAACAUAAGAGUCAUCUAAGAAACCCCGACUAAAGAAUAUGUGCCACCCACUCGAUGUGAGAGAGAGAGAGAGAGAGAGAGAGAGAGAGAGAGAGAGAGAGAGAGAGAGAGAGAGAGAGAGAGAGAGAAGUAGAGAGAGAAUGCAUUUAUAAAAGAAACAAAGAACAGAACAGCCGGAUGCAUGAGUUAAAAAUUGCUGAGAAAUGAUCUCUUGAAAAGAAAACAUUAAAAAAGGGUUGAGUCAGACCUGAGAUUCAUCAAGGAGUUUCCGAUUUGUGUCCAAUUCCCUCUUAAGCAUAGAAACAUCCUCCAUAGCAGCUUUAAGCUUAAUUUCUGUUUCACUCAACUGGUUUGACUUCUCUGAAAGUGCAGUUUGCAAUUCCAGUAACAGCUCCGCACUGACUUUGGUGUCCAAGCCUGGGUCAACUGCUGUUUCACAUGGUAUAACAUUAAGAGGUUCAGGCAUGCUUUCAGCAGUAGAACUGUUUGUCAGUGACAUGCCCAGCUGCCCCUCCAUCUUAUCUUUCCCAUCUUUACCACUGGCUAGCAGUUCUUCACGCUGUAGCUCUUGCAUGGAUGAAUCCAUUAGAUGAUUUCGUACUGCAGAAGAAUCCAUCAUAUUUUCAUCUACCCCAUCUCUCAUUUUCCCAGGUUGCACAUUGAACAGACCCAGUUUUGCAUCAAAAACACUAGAGACGCAGGAAACCUCAUCCAUGGGAUCAGUAUGAGAUGAGCAAGGCAUAUGGACUCCCCUACCACCUUCUUGCUUGCAGAUAUCAACCUUAUCAGACAAAAUUCCAAAUUCAGAGGCAUCCUUAUCAUUUGAAAUCUUCUGGCUUUGUGAAUACUGAUCAGACAAUCUCUGUUCAAGUUCUUGAAUGCGUUUCUCAUAUGAAAGACACUGCAUCUGCUUCUCCCUGAGCAUAGAUUUUAGAUGCUUUCCAUAUUCAUCUUUCAGGUGCAAGGCUUCAGCUGUCUUCUCUGCGGCAUCCUUCAAUAAAUGAUCCACUUUACUAUCAUCCAAUGAUUCAAAGUCUACUUCAGGCCAGAAUGAACAAAUCACAGCUAUAGCAGACGCCAGUUCUGCUUUCAGUUUUGCAUUCUCAACUUCCAACUUACCAGUUCCAGCAAUCUCUACCAACUCACAGCCUUCAAGUAGCUCCUCAGAGUUGCAAUUCUCAAAGUUAUCCAAUGUACUCUCAUCAGCAUCAACCGAAUGACUUUCAUUAGACAUAGAAUUUGAACCUCUAAACGCACUCUUUGAAGACAGUGCAGUCAAGUACUCAGGUGCAUAACGGUCAAUGUCUGAAAUCUCAAUAUCAAGCAAGCUAGUAUCAAAAGGAGCUAUGUUGACAUCACACUGAUUAGGCGUAUCAUAUAGUCCCAUGGAUGCUAAUACAUCCCUGGGUAUGUAUAAACUGUGAGCUCUCAAAAACUCCUCCCGUCUCCUGACUUCAGUCUCCCUCUUUGUCGCAAGUCUUUCAGCCAACUGUCCAGCCAUCCCCAUGUAAAGCUUCAAUGAAGCCUUUCGUCUGACUAUUUCUGCUAAGCAGGCUCUAUAUGCAGGGCCGAUCCCACGGACCAACUUUAAGUCCAAAAAUAGAUCCUCCUGACGGACCAUUGCCUCUCUAAAAACAGGAAACUGUAAUUUUGCAUCUUUGAUGAUGUAAGAAAUAUAUGUUAUCUUUUGCAUAAAUCUAUGGAGAAAUACAUUCAUUUCAUUCUUUUUAUCCUUGCAGAAGUUGAGGAGCUUGGAAAUUACGCGAUCACAAGCCUGCAUCCUAGGCAGGUGAUUUUUGUCAUGGACAUCAUACAUAGGGCCCAAGGCUGAAACUGCAUCAUGAGGACGAAGUGAGGAAGACAAUUGGCAAGACAAGCAAUCAUCCACGAGUUUCUUGACAGUAUUUACAUCUUUGCUGCAUGAAUUAUAACUGGUUAGUAUAUUUAAAAAUAUUUUAACUAAUUUAGUAUUUCACAGCAGACAAUUGUGCAUCUAAGUGCAGUAGUGAAAUUGAGAGUCGUGAUCCCAAAGACCAUAAUAUUCAGAAAGCUUUAGUAGUCCUGGAGGUUUAUGAUCUGGUAAGCUUCGUAUCUAUUAUGAUAUGCUUCCACUCUAACGGGUGUACGAGUACAUCAAAUGGGUAAAAUCAUUCAACAAAAUACAAGUUCGUGCAUAUACAAACUUCGUAUCUAUUAUGAUAUGCUUCCACUCUAACGGGUGUACGAGUACAUCAAAUGGGUAAAAUCAUUCAACAAAAUACAAGUUCGUGCAUAUACAAAUAAAGAGAAUAGCCACUUCCUGAAUGUUACCAUACUCGAACAAAAGGACAGCCACAAACAAUAAAAAUUGAGUUCUGCUAUUCCCUUCACUUGUCCUAUUUUCCCAACCACAUUAAAAUACAAACAUAUUUGCAAAUUUUUAUCACCUGCAAAAUUUCCAUUCAUAUAAUGCUUUCCCCAACCUCCACAAGAACAAAUUGAGCAGAAAGACCUCUUCAUUGAAAAGAGUCUUUUGCUCAACCCUUUCUUAUCAUUUCAUAAGAUAAACUAGUCAUUAAUCGUUAGAAGGUUUUGAGCUUUGAAGCUAAUGCAUAGCAUUAUAUGAGGAAAAUUGAUCUAGUGAAAAUAUGAGGUAACUUCUGAUGAAAACUCAACCACCUUAUGGCUUCGGAUUUUGAUACCUAAUUGAUGGAGAACAGGAUUGGGAAUUGCUGACAAGGAUGUUUAAUCUUUUAUUCUAGAGUUGCUGACAAGGAUUUUGAUACCUAAAUGAUAGAGAACAGGAUUCGAUUAAGGUCUUUAUAUUACAUCCUUGUAACUCUUUGGAGACAGUUUUGGACGAUUGAAUUAAAAAUUGUUGGAGCUUUGCUUCUCUCUAGGUUUUGUCAUGCAACCUAACCCUCGGUGUGAUGCCUUAGGCCUGUUGGAGUGAUUCCUACAAACCCUACUGGUGUGAUGCUAGUAGUUUCCAUCCUUUUCUCAUAAUUUUCAUUUAUUUCUUUAUGAUUCCCGCUGUACCUUCUUUCUACAAUUCAUAAAGUCAACAACACUCAAAUUAGACAGACAUCCUCCCUUAAUUGAGGUUGUCCUGCAUCACUAACUCAUCUACUUCUACUUCAUUAGGUUAAGCACUUAUCUAGUGGUACUUGUUUGCUUUAAGAGAAAAAUACAAAUGUGAGUAAUUUUAUUUGCCCCCAUAUUUUGCCCCUGGCAUGAGUAUCUACACAAACUCCAUUCAUUUCCUUUCCAUCUCUCCUUAACAGCAUCUCAGUAUACCCAAAAGAUGGGCAUUUGAACUAACCAUAUUAUCUAAUGAUGAUAAUAAAGGCAACAGACAACUUUAAAAGCACCAGAAGUCAAAAAACAACAGGAUGAAUUUGUAUCUCCGUACAAUUCAGUCGAGGAACACUGAAGAGCUUAAGGGUAGCAGACCAGGAGAGUAAACUAAAACAAAGCCUACAACGAACAUAUGAUGCAUACGUGAACAUGAAAGCACACAUACAAACCUCUAAAUUAUAUCUGGAAUCCUGUCUACAAAAUGUUCUUAACAUGAAAUAUGCUGCAAUACUACUCAUGCAACGUAAUUGCUAACAAAAUGAUAAAUUCUAAAAACCGAUGUGGUUUUCAGCUACAACAAAGUUUUAAAAUGAUAAAUGAGCAUUCCUAAGUGAUCUCCAAAUGAUCCAAAAGAAACUUGACAGAGGAAGUUGGAAAGACAAAUAGACGAAAACCAUAUAUCUGAUACUGCAUAACUAUGACCGGAAAAAAAGAAAAGAAAACCAACCUCAAUGAUUGCAUGAUACUCCUUUGCUCAUGAAUAUAUCUUUGGUGCUCCUUAAUCGUGAUUUCCAAAUUCCUAAUAGGCAACGAAGCCCUAUUAGAAAACAAUUCUUCGACUUUCCGCUUUACCUCACUAAACAUCUGUUUAAACUGUGAAACCUUAUUCUCAAACUGCCUGUGGGAACUACUACAAAUUUCUCCCGCUUUCCUCAAGUUCUCUUCCUUCACAAAAUCCAAUAAGCACUUCCGAGUGGCAGUCUCUAAUGCAGGGUGAAGCUUGAUAGAUCUCAGUUUUUCUACAUCCCUCCCAAGAUUGGUCAAAAGAUCAGAAUGACUUCGAUGCUGUUGUGAAUAACGCUUCAUGAAUUCUGUAUAGUUUUGGUUUAUCAUUUUAUAAUAUUGAUCCAAAUUGCCCCUAGCAACCUCCACUGCCCUUUCUUGAACCUUUUGCUCCCUCAAAAGCCUCUCACAGUUCUCAUAUUUUACUUGGGUGCAACUGUAAAUUGCAUGACCCUUGUGGUAGUGGUACCUAAAUUGCCUUUCAUAAGAAGGCAAGGCCUUCAAAGCAGGGUCUGAAACAUCAUCCAAAGGGUGAGGGUCAUGUGAAGCUGAAGGUGAUUGGGGGUCAGCAAUGUCAAGAAUUUCAACUUGCUCGGGCUGAGGGAGUGGAGAAUUAGUCUGCAGUCUUGCUUUAUUGAAUAUAAACACUUCCAGACCAUCAGCUGGAAGCUUAUAUGCCGAAAGCGGCCUCUGUGGCUCAAGCUUCAUAUCCAAACACAAAACAAGCUGGUCAUUGAGAUUAAUCCCAGCCAUGGAUUCAAUAUACAGCAUAACUGCCUCCACCGGUGUGCUGUCUUCACAAUCGAGCUCAAAUGAAUGCCCAUUCUCAGCAACAUGAACCAAAAGCUUGCCCUGAUGAACCAAACCUUCAGCGAUACUCGAACUCAUCUUAUCUCAAACCAAACAACGAUGCUCGACCACAAAGUCCAAAGCAAACAGAAUCAAAUUUCCAGUACCACCUUAUACAUACAAGUACAUGCUAAGUUCCGAACCCAAAAGGUUAAAUCCGAUACCGCUGACCUCCAAGCAAUUGAAUUGAGCGAGCAAACCACUUUUGUAGAAUAACCUGCAAUCAACUGGAAAAUUCCCGAUUUAUAGAUCUUCAGCCUCGACAAAAACCCCAAAUUAUCACAGACCCACCUCCAAAUCUAUAAAAUUUAACCCAAUUCUCAACAACCCACAAAAGAUUAUCGAAGAAAAAAGGGAAGAAGAGCAUGACGUACCACCAAUUCUUGAAAAGCAGCCAAAAUCACAUCAGAAAUUUGUCGAGGGGGGCUCGAUUUCUUCGCGAUUAUCAACCCUCAAGCAAACAUCAACAAAUAUAAUCGAGGACAAAGACCUUCACAACUGAGGAGGAAGAGGAGGAAGCGGAAGAGAGGUAAUCGAAAGAGAUUGGUUACGUGAAAAAAAGAGGCUCACAACAAGGAAAAGGUUUUCACGAAAUCCCUUUCCCUUUCACACACAUAUAUAUAUAUAUAUAUAUAUUAUAUACCAUAGCCACCACUGCACCGUCUACGACUCUUUCUUCUUCAGCAACCUUUUAUCUUUUUAUCUUUUACUUUUUCUUUGGUUUUUUUCCAAAUUGUAAACAAACGCGGAGAAGAGAACCGUUGUGCUGGGAGCGUUAGCUCACAAAAGUAAAAUGGUAAAGUAAGAAUGAUUAAUAUUGGAUUUUAUUUAGCAACUUGUUAUUAACAUUCUUAAAAAUCUUAAUCUAUGUUCUAUCUAUAUUUUUAAUUUAUUUAUUUUACUUCUUUUAAUAUGAUUUCAAAUUUUACCACUAUAUUACUUUUAAUGUUUACAAUCUUGAAAACCUCAUUAAGUAUGAUGACAUAAAUAUGGGUAAAUAUUUAUAGGGAGUUGUAAAGACCUUUUGUGCUCUAGAAGCAAGUAAUCUUUUACUCUUUAAGUUUGAUCAUAUAUGCAAAAGACUUUAGCUCCAUAUAGAAUCGAUGGCUACUUUAUCAAGUCAGCCAUUCCUUUGUCCUCAGACUUUUUUCCUCUUAGUCUGAGCAAAAUUCUUCCUAUUUUUUUGGGUAAUUCAUGGAUAAACAACCAUAUAUGGACUCUAUAACAUCCCACAUCGUCUAAGGGAGUGGAUCCUCUAAGCCUUAUAUGUAUAUUCUCAUCUCUACCUAGUACGAGGCCUUUUGGGAGCUCACUAGCUUCGGGUUCCGUAGAAACUCUGAAGUUAAGCGAGUUCGCGCGAGAGCAUUUCUAGGAUGGGUGACUCACUGGGAAGUUCUCGUGUAAGUUCCUAAAAACAAAACCGUGAGGGCGUGGUCAAGUCCCAAAGCGGAUAAUAUCGUGCUACGGCAGAGUUGAGCCCGAGAUGUGGUGGGGGCUUGGGCCGAAAUGUGACAAUUUGGUAUCAGAGCCAAUCCUUGGUCGGAAGUGUGCCGACAAGGACGUUGGGCCCCUAAGAGGGGUGGAUUGUAACAUCCCACAUCGUCCAGAGGAGUGGAUCCUCUAAGCCUUAUAUGUAUAUUCCUAUCUCUACCUAGUACGAGGCAUUUUGGGAGCUUAUUGGCUUCGAGUUUCGUAGAAACUCUGAAGUUAAGCGAGUUCACGCGAAAGCAUUCCUAGGAUGGGUGACCCACUGGGAAGUUCUCGUGUGAGUUCCCAGAAACAAAACUGUGAGGGCGUGGUCGAGGGGGCGUGGUCGAGUCCCAAAGUGGAUAAUAUCGUGCUAUGGCGGAGUCGAGCCCGGGAUGUGGUGGGGGCCCGGGCCGAGAUGUGACAAUUCUUUAAUGUUGUUAAAGAGUCUUGUGGUUCACCAUUCACUAGGCUUUGAAAGUCAUGGGUUUUAGAAUUGUUUUUUAAUGCAUGCCUACUUUAAAGUGUUAUUAGUUUGCUUAUGUAUUCAAAUGUUCUCACAUGUUCUUAGCUAGGACAAAUUUUGUCCUUCAUCAAUGAACCUACACCCAUUCAACUAUUUUCCAAACUAAAAAUUACAACAACAAAUACAACUACCACCCAAAUCCGAUUAAAAUACUGUAACAUGAAAGGUGGUGGCCUGUGAAGUUUAACUUAUAGUCAAGACUUGCAGGCAAGAGACAUAAUUAUAGAUAGAAAAGAAGGGAGACAUCUGUGACUAAGUGAAAGAAUAUGAAAACUGUUGGUGGAUUAAAUAAACGGGAAAAUACUAGAACUUUGGAAACUAUGUCCUCACAAAAAAGGAAUAAAUUGUUGCUAAUUCACCUACCUUGAAUUCAAGGUGAGCGUAUGGUGCGGGAGGUGAACAUUACGUGAAGGAUUGUGCCCUGGCCACAAGCGGGAGCAUUAACACCGGGGUGCAGGUUUAUGAGCUUUGAAUGCAUCUAAUACAACAUGUGAAGGAAAAUUUUUGUCCUAGCUAAGAACAAGUAUGAACAUUUGAAUACUCAUGCAAGCUAUUAACACUUUAAAGUAGGCAUGCAUUCAAAAACAAUUCAUAAAACCCAUGACUUUCAAAGCCUAGUAUAUGGUGAACCAAUAAACUCUUUAACAACAUUAAAGAUAAGUAAAGAUUUAGAGUUUCUUUACCCUUGAAGCUCAUCCUUGUUUACAUAAGGGAUUCACCCAAGUGGAGGGCCUUCAAGUCACCUCCAAGCUCCUUGAAUCCUCCUUGUGUUUUCCUCCCUUUAGUGCUCCUUUGAAGAUUUGAGGAAAUGAGGAUAUGUUCUCCAAAACACCACAAGUUUGAUGUCUCUAAGUCUCUUCACCAAGGAUGUAUCUUGUGAAGAUGAUAUGGAUGACUUAGGGAAGAAGAGAUUGCUAGAUGUCCCUCCCCUUAGUGGCCGGCCUCUUGGAAGAAAAAGAGAGAAAAUGUUUCACCCAAUUUCAUCAAGAAAACCCUAAAUGAAAAUAAAGCUAUAAAGUUGAAUUUAUACUUCAUUACAAGUGAGUGGCAAACUUGUAAUUAAUCCAAGUUUGCCAUAUUCACCCUAAUGGCCGGCCCUCAUUUGUUAUUGGGCUAAUUUGCCCAUUUUGUUUUAGUUGUCAUACAACUUAAACAUAAUGGGCAUUGUGGACCAAAACGCUUUUGGGCCCCGAAACCCAAAACCAACAUAUAAGCCCAAUACGAACAUUUCGUAUAAUUAAUUAACUAUUUAAUUAAUCUUGACCAUUCUUCAAUUAAACCAUUUAAUUGCUUAUCCAUUUCAUUUAAUUUCCUCACAUACAUCCUUACUCGGUGUACGAUCCAUUAGGUUCCAAUUAGCGAGGUAGUGGGCGAUUGUUACUCUUAACGAUCGAUUGUGAAAUUGAAACCACAUUUCAAUUCUCCCUUAAUGAUUAGUGUUUGCUAAUCAUUUAGGGCUUCCACAAACCAUGAGUGACAUCUAGCAGUAUGUCAUGGUUACCCAAGCUAAGUAGAAUUGGUUGGAGAACCUAUCCAGUUGCAACUAUAAUGCAAUACGGUCAUUCUCUAAUACAAUACUCUUAAUCACAUUGUUUGAGUGAUAGUUUGUUUCAUGUCUACUAUCCAAUGUGAUACAUCUCUAUAUGAUUCCCUUGAAUAUGAUUUGGAACAAACUUCCUAAGUCAUAUUCAUAUGCUUUGGCCAAAGACUUUAGAAUCAUAUCUUAGAGUAUUCUCCUUCCACCAUGGAAGGUUAGAGAUCCCUUGUUGUGCAUUCAUAUGCCUACAUGACUAGAUAGCUUGACCCCAACAAUGCCGUGGACACUCCGAUGGAAUGCCGUUUGACAUGAUCAAAGAUCAAUGACCUAACCAUUAGACAUCUAUGAUGCCUCAGGUCAAAUGACUACUUUGCAUAUUGCAACUUUAGAGUUCAUACAUGACAUGUAUGUUCGAACUCUCUUUUGAUCGUAGUUCAGUGUACUCGAUUACUCUUUCGAGCACCUAUGUGUUUGUCUUAGUGUCUAACACCAAAUGACUUGAGACUAGUCAUACUCACGCUUGAGUCAACAUAACACAUACUAACCUUAGCGGAUUGUCAAUGCCCAAUUGGCAAUCCUAUAGCUAGGAACGUUUUAGGAAUGAACAUAAGAGAAUGGUCUCGAUAAUCUAACUCACUUAGAUCACUUGUCUCUUAGAUCAAAUACAUCCCCUGGAUUCCCUUAUUGCUUAAACACAUGAUACAAUAAAUAGUGAUUAACAAUAAGCUUUGCCCUCCAUUAAACAUAUAAAAGUUUAAUACAUUAAGUAUUCCAAAAAGCUAUUACAUCAAAUGAGUGGCUUUGUGGGCAUACUUCCAACAACAUGUAUGACAAUGCUGGAGUUGCCUACUAUUGCAACCUGUACGACAGUGUCGGAGUUGCUUUAAACAUAAAUGUAGUCAUAUCAUAACCCCAUCAAUUCAACUAAUACCGUAUACUUACUUGAACUUACCUAAACUUACCUGAACUUACCUGUGUGUCCUGCGUUCACCUUUGCACUUCAGAGCGUUCACAAUAAUUAUGUGCAAGGAAUAUAUGUAUGGAUAUGCCAUGAUGAAAUCUAAAACAAAAACAUUUCAUAGUAUUUCCAAUUAUAUAAUACGGUGUACUAACUAUUAAUCACUAAAACAUAAAGUUAAAACACACAUUUUUCACCAAUAUCCCUCACAUUGCUCAAUUCCUUAAACAAGGCUAUUGUCUCGAUUAUAUAAUCUCAUUUCUUAUAUGGCUGCAUCUAACGUCUCGUUAGACUGCCUACGUACCCUAAACAGGGAUCAAGUCAUUCGUAGUUUGCAAUAAUCAUUUAUAUUAAUACGCAUAUGGAUAUAUCACGAUGAAAUCUAAACUCAACCAUCUCAUAGUAUUUUAUAACAUAUAAAUAUAUAUAUGUCAUGGCAUAAAUUUCUCAGUUUUAUUUAAAAGCAUUAUAGAAUUAUCAAUCAUGAAAAAUAUGAUAAGCAAGGAAAGAUCCACUCACUUGGAGUUCGCGCUACAACUUCCUAGCACAAACAUCGAGGUGUCACAAAUGAUUGGUGCCUGUGACCAAUUAUCAAACCAUAUCUCAGAAUUCUCGUUGAUAUAAUACAUAACUUACAUCGCACAUGAGUCUACGUAAUUCGUUCCAGAAGAUCUAGAAAUCAGAUCUCUGAUCCGUAACUUCCAAGGAUCCACAUUAUGCUUCUAGAAUAACAUACUAAAGUUUCGGAACGAUCAAACGGUCGGAUCUCCGCCAAUUGCCAAAACCAAGUUGCGGUUAACAUUUUGUUUUACGAACUUACAAAUCCAAUUCGAGAAGAUUCGUAAUUCGGAUUACCAAUUCGUAAGUUCCUAUAUUCCUCAAAUAUUAUGAAUAAUAACCUAUUAAAGUUUGAUGACGAUCCAACGGUCAGAUCGUUGAUUCAUAUAAUGGCCUAUUAACGUAUCUUAGAGAAUUUUAGUUCUAACGAUCAAUUCUCAAAACUGAAUUCAAUGCAUCAAAUAUAGCCUAAAAAUAGCAUUGGUGGCCCUCUGGCCACGCGCCGCCGUGGGUGGCAGUUGGCUGCCCCGACUCGCCGAAAAAUCAACUAUCUUUAAAAAUUACCAAAAUUUGUAGAUUUGAAUAUCUCAGUGAGUAGAACAACUUUUAUACCUGUGACCAAGGCCAAUUUGGCCUGGAAAGGCUCUAAUUUAAUCAAAACCUGUCGGAACCCUAGAAUUGGGUGUGCUUCGAUUUGACCUCCAAACGUGUUCCGAUGCCUCCACCACUGAUUGGGCUUUGUUCCUGGGUUCUAGGGUAGUCUAGUGGUGGCAGCAAUUUGCUGGAUUACCUUCACAAUCGUCGAAUUUUGUCAUGGCACCCUCAGAACCCACAAUUUCGUUCUACUCGAAUUCAAGCUCAAAUCCUAUAAAAUUUGAUUGGGAAUGGAAGAGGAAAUGACUAGCUAAUGAUUGGGAAUGUUUUCUUGGUCCAAAUUUGUGAGAAAUCCGGUGGAAAACCAAAAGAAAAUAUGGAGAAUUGGACUGGGUGUACACGGGUCAUGGGUUGGGAACUCGUUUGAUGAGAUAUGUGAUGAGUAUGUGAUCAACUAUGUGAUGAGUAUGUGAUGAGCUAGCAUAUGUAAUGAAUAAGAGACGAGCUAGCAUAUGUGAUGGAUAUGUGAUGAGCUAGCAUAUGUAAUGAAUACGUGACGAGCUAGCAUAUAUAAUGAAUAAGAGAUGAGCUAGCAUAUGUAAUGAAUAAGAGAUGAGCUAACAUAUGUGAUGAGUAUGCGAUGAGCUAGCAUAUAUAAUGAAUAAGAGACGAGCUAGCAUAUGUGAUGGACAUGUGAUGAGCUAACAUAUGUAAUGAAUAUGUGACGAGCUAGCAUAUGUAAUGAAUAUGUUAUGAACUAGCAUAUGUGGUGAGAUAUGGGUAAGUUGUAUAGGUCACCUAGGUGACUCUGACUUGCGUACUAGUAUGAGUUAUUAAUCGCAUGAUUAUUUGAUAUUAUUGAUGAAAUGCUAUGUUGUGGUAUAUUAUGAAUUUUCUGGAAACUAUACAGGCGUUGUAGUGAGGGGUUAUAAUGUUUUACAUGGUUUCUAUUAAAAUUUUACUUACAUGGCCACUCACCUUUGUCUUGUCUUCACCCUCCAGGUUUUAUUAGCUGAGCUUUCUUAUCGUCGAAGAUUCGUGGCGAUUCUUAGUAUUGGAGAUUAUAUCGAGGGUACGAUUCUUAAUUCACUCUUCUGUACUUGCUUAUGCUCUAACGUCACGUGUGAAGUGAGUUCAUUCCCGCUUAUCGGUGCACUCUGGUAUUUAGGCACUCUUAGGUUUAAAUUUAUUCACACUCUUCCACAUCAUCACAUUUUAUGGCUUCGUCACCUUCCAGGUGUCGGCCAGCACAGCUCGAUUCGGAGUCCUAGUGGACAUUUCGGGUCGGGGUGUGUCAGACCCGAUACUACAUGAAAGUUUUAACGAAAUCUACAAAUGGUGAAAUGGAAGAAAUGUCAAACUUGAGUGAUCCUUCUAACUCUCUUGUAUCAAAUUUUCAUGGUAUGUCUUCUCAUGACUUUUUUUUUUUCCUUUUAUUUACUGGUUUAAUUAUUUUUAGUAUUAUAGGUGUUUCAUUAUGAGUUUGAACAUAUUUGUAUAUCUCAAUAACAUGAAUUAGAGAUGGAUUAGAAAUGGGGUUUUCCAGUAGACAAAUUUAUUUGUUGGUGCAAUGCAAUUUCAUGAAUAAGUUUUUUUGUUGCUGCCCUUUGAAUGCUUGUUUUUUUAUCCCUGAUUUGCCUUCAUGUGAUGAGUUCUACCCCCUUAUCAAUUGACUUCUUAUUCAACCAACUUCUUUUGUUUUAUUAACUAGUAUGAUAGCUUCAAUUGUUAGUAAGUUACUGUAUAUUAUGUUGAAAUGAAUGGUUCACAUGCUAUAAAACUAAGUUUAUUUUUAUCUAGGGAGUCAAGUAGAGAUCAUUGAACAUGACACAAUGCUCUCUUUGACUAAAAAGAACUUUCAAAGUCGGGAAGACCUCCUUGGUAUUGUUCGUGAAAUUGCAUUAAAGCAAGGGUAUGCAACUGUUAUUUGGAGAUCGAAGGCUAAUAAAUAUGUUAUUAUUGGUUGUGAUAGAGGUGGUAAUUAUCGAAAUACCAAUCUUUUGUUAAAGGAAAAGAAAAGGAUAACAACAUCUGGAUUGAUAAAUUGUCAUUUUGAAAUUUAGGGAAAGAAGAAACAAGAAGGAUUUUGGAAGGUGGACAUACAAAAUUUGUCACAUAACCUUGAUCCUUCAGCUGACAUGUCUGGGCAUCCCUAUUAUCGUCUGUUUUCAAAAGACGAAAUCUUGCACAUUAAACAAAUGAUUAUGGGUGGUAUACCACCUCGCCAUAUUCUUUCUUCACUCCGUCAAAGUAAUCCUAAUCUUCAAGCAAUUUCUCAAAAUGUCUAUAAUGAAAGGUAUAAGAUUAUGAAGCAGAGUUUAGGAGGAUGUACGGUUGUUCAAGCCUUGUUAGACGAACUUGGUCAAGGUGGUUUCACUUAUAACAUUAAGUAUGAUUAGAAUGGUCAUUGGACUUAUUUGUUCUUUGCCCAUCCCAUUCCAAUUGCAUUGACUAAGAGCUACUCAUAUGUUUUUGUGAUGGAUUGCACCUAUAAGACUAAUAAGUACAAGAUGCCAUUGUUGGAUAUCAUUGGGAUCUCAAAUUUCAACACAUCAUUUUAUUCUUGUUUUGCCUUCAUGCAAAAUGAGGGGGAAGAAGAUUAUGUAUGGGCGCUAUCAAUGUUUAUUAAACUGCUGGGAAUUGAUAAUCAUCCAGUGGCGAUUAUAAUAGAUAGGGAAUUGGCAUUGAAAAAAGAAAGUACCAAAAGGCAACUAACCCAAUUUCCUUGUGCUUCUCUUCCUUUACUUCUUGAGCCUAUUAUUCAAGCUCAUAAAGGUCGUCCAUCAAAGUCAAAGAGAGAAAGGAAUCUAACUCCAUGCAGCGUGAGCCUUCAUCGAUUGAGAUAGUUGAAUACUCCCGAAAAUGUAGCAUUUGUAACAGUGUUAGCCACAACUGUCAGACCUGCGAACUCAAUUAGAGAGCUGCAUGAUUUAUGUGGUAUGAUUGCAGAUUUUGAAUAGAGACAUACUUGUAAGUUCUCUUUUAUAAUUAGUCUUUAAAUCACAUUCAUCUUGGUUGGGACUUGAAAUUCAUUUGUGUUUCCCUCAACUGAAAUUUCUCUUGUAUGUGUAAUAACUAAUGUCUGCAAAUAACUACACCUUUUAUCAUUAGUAUUUUAAUGUGAGUUUGAAUAUAUAUGACGUAUUUAUAUAUGUUAUCUAACUGUUUUGGUAUAUUUUAUUAUGAUAUACAGGUUAUGUGACACACUCCGACCCGGAAUGUCCACAUGGACUCUGAAUCGAGCGGUGAUAGGAGGGUGACAAAGCCAUAAAGUGUAGUGAUGUGGAAAAUGUGAAUAAAUUUAAACCUAAAAGUGCCUAAAUAUAAGAGUGUGCUUCUGAGCGGGAAUGAACCCAUUUCACACGUGAUGUCAGAGCAGCAUAAGUAAAGUACAAUAAAUUAUGAUGAGAAUUAUACCAUCGAAGGUAACCACCCAUACCAAGAUUUGCCAAGAAUUCUCGUCGACACGAAAGCUCAGCACUAUAACCUGGAGGGGCGAAAAACAAGGGCGAGUGGGCCUAAAAAUAAAGCUUUGUAAAAACCUUUUCGAAAACAUAAUAACCGCUAGCCGUAAAACAUGUCUAGUUUCCAAAAUAUACAUACUACGUAUAGUAAGAAAAUACUUACUGUAACCUGCAAUAUCUCAAGAAUUCAAUACGUCAUAAUAUUUCGUAAAUAAACACAUGACGUUCGUAAUCACAUAAUCUUCUACAAGGAAACAUAUCAUAUCGAGUGCUCAUCGACACAUGCUGACACACAAGUUCAUGCAGAGAUAUUCUAACAUGAACAUGACUAGGUGUAACAAUGAUAUACGCUCUAGUACUACAAUCACGUGAAGACUGCCUAUACGAGCAUCAUAUACGAGUCUAAUUGCCUAUAGCAAUCUAGGACAGGACUGACAACUAUAAUGGAUCCAAAGUGAGCGUAAGGUGCGAUGUGAACAUACACGUGAAAGAUUGGCCCUGGCCCGGGCGAGUGCUAACACUAGUGCAACAAACGAUGAACAUAUAACAUAAAUAUAGUCAUCCCACAGUGAUUUGAUAAUUCUAGUCAAGAUAAUAUUAUUCAUAGCCGUAAAUUUAAUUAAGGCAUCCCGUAAGAUUUAUAAUGAUUUUCUAAUUCUCAUCGUUACGUCAUUUUUCUAUAAAUGUUAAUUUAAUUACGACAAUUAUAUAGAAAAUUCAUUAUUAGAUGUAUAUAUGGAAACUAAACAAAUAUAUGUAUAUAUCAAAAAAAAUACCCACUCACAAUUCAUGUCGUCGAGUCAAACUCGUCUCACGGGCAUCGAAGAUCCUUGCGAUGCGUUUCACCUAGAAACGAGACCAUUUAUGUAAAUAUAUAACGUACUAACGUAUAAACUCGUUUUCGUACAAAGUACGACUAAUAAAGAAACUAUUUUAAAAAGGUCCAAUUUUGGAAAACGGAGGGCGAAUUCAAAUUCAGCACGUCGAGAAACCUAAGGAAGGACCUCGAGUUUCUCCACGCACCGCCACAAGGUGGUUGCACUGGUAGCCACACGCCGCACAUGCCACCACUAUGUGGCUUCCUACGCGCGCCCACACGCCUACGGGUGUGGCUGUACUCGCCUCCUACACAAAACCUGCAGUUUUUGUAGGUUGCAAGCCUAACUUUCAGAGCUCUAAACAAGCUCAUUUCUUAACCAAAAUCCGUGAAACAAAGGGAAAAAUAAAAAAUCACAUUAAAAGAAUUAAAAAAGAUAAAUCAGAAAUAUAGAAGGAGUGUGGAUUGAGAUUUUUUUUUUUUAACCAAGUGGAUUGAGAUUUUGGAAGUGUCAAUAUCAGCUCCCUUAUUUAUUUAUUAAAAUGACUAAUAUACUUUUUUUUUUUUUUUAAGAAAUGACUAAUGUUCAUGCACAAAAUCGACUCCUUAUAUUAAAAGGACAUUGUUUACAACUGUCUUAUUAUUAUUUAUAUGCUUAAAUAAUAAAGUUUAAAGAAUAUUUCUCUUCACUUGUAAGUGAGAGGUUUUAGGUUUGAUUUUCGACAAAGGCAAAUUUAAACCACAUUAUUGCUAGCCCAUUGUGAGGCUAAGCCCAUUCAUCUCCCCCUUAGUGUAGAUAAUAUCACUUGUUAAAAAAUAAAAAAGAAUAUGCAAUAGAGAGACUGUAAUUUAAACAAGUUAGAAUUCAAAAGAUUUUUUUCUCUCUAGUAUAGUUAUCCUAAAUGUUUCUGAUGGAUUACCAAUUGGGCAUUGACAAUCCGCUAAGAUUAGUACAUACUAUGCCUUUUGACUUUGGAGAAUCACUAGUCUCGGGUCAUUAGUGUGAAAUACACCAAGACAAGUAUGUAGGUGCUUAAUAGAGAGUGAGUUCACUAAAAGCAAUCAAAGAUGAGUUCUUAUAUUGAAGUCACUACUGGCAAGUCAAAUAAGGAACUCUAAAGUUGCACAAAUGCAAUCAAUCUUCAUACCUCUAAGACAUCACAAUUGUCUUAUGGAGAUGUUUUGUUUAUUUAACAAUGCGUCAUACCCUUGGGUUUGUUAUGUGCAUUAUUGGGGUCUUAGACUUAUUCGUAGAGGUGUGUGAGUGUAUAACAAGGAAUAUCAACCUUUGAUAAAGAAGGAGAAUCCUCUUAAAUGUGAUUCAACAAAUUUUUGAGUAUAGUAUUGAAUGUAAUUAAGAGCGAGACGUAAAUUAUAUUCAUUUGAAUCAUAUAAACUUAGGAAUCUACAUUAGGGGCUUGACAUAAACUUCAUGCUCUAAUAAUGCACAGAUGGUUAGAGCAAUUUGUUGAGUUUCUAGGCAUAUGAUUGGGAUUAAUUUAUUCUAAUAAUUAAACAAAUCAAAAAUUAAGUAAACAAUGAUAAACUACCAAUGGAUGAUGGAGUGAUUGAAUUAAAUGUGCUAGCAAUAUCUCUCACUUGGAUCAUUUUGGGUGGCACACAUGGUGUGUUUUGACUUAGGGUUUUCUCUCUUUCAUCUGAGGGAUACAAUUGAUUGUUGGGAACUUUAAUGAAAAACUCUCGGUACUGUUCACUUUAACGAAAAACCACAUUUUUACACUAAAAAGUCAAUCUUGAUACAAUUCACUUUACCCUUUAUUUUAUCCUUAUUGUUAAAACUCAAAAUUUUCAAGCCAUUCAUUAGUUUUACUAUGAUUGUUUUGGACAUAUAUAAGAGAAACACAAGGGUAUACAUAGACGACCAUAGCUGCACCUUUAGUGUUUUGACGCCAUAGGCUUAGUCACAUGGUAAAGCUCGAUUCACUUGCCAUGUUGGGCUUGUGACUUAAACCCGUUCUAAUUAAAUAAAACUCAUACCUUAUUUUAUUUAAAAUCAUGUCCAAUAGGCUUAAAUAAUUAAUCUAAUAUAAUUAAUAAUAAAUUAUAUCUUAACAUCAUGCAAAUAAAGUUACUAGAACUAUCAUUUUCACACCUCUUAGGUUCUAACUAAAGCUGGAAGUGAAAUUAAUAAAUUAAUUUAAUUCCACAAUACAUGAAUGACACCUAGCAACAUUUUAUAACUACCCUGACUAGUAGAAGUAUCGUGAUACAAAUAUCUAUGAAAUAAUGCCGAAUAACAUACAAAUAUCUAUGAUCACCAUGAUGCAUUUGUGAACACGGGAAUUCCUGCGAUGAAGGAGACAAGAACACGUGUACAAAAUAAUAUUUGUAUUAAUGAUUUAAGGGUUACAAUCUCUUCUACAAAUUUAGCCUCUGAUUCGAUCUUCGUAAUGUGUAAAUUUGUGGAUUGUGUUGUUGAUCCAAGGGCCGUCGGGGCUUAAUCCUGGAUGAACGGUUGAUGAAUGAUGAACACUUUCUUCAAGGGCCGUCGAGGCUUGAUCCUAGAUGAACGAUUGAUGAAUGAUGAACACUUUCUUCAAGGGCCGUUGGGGCUUGAUCUUGAAUUUGUGGAAGUUCUUCAAGGGCCGUUGGGGCUUGAUCUUGAAGGAGGGCUUCACAAAGAACGAAGAGGGCUUUCUUGAUCCAUCGGGAUUUGCUUGAGAGUAGAGAAAAUGUAUGUCAAUUUCCUCCCCUUUCUCUUUUGAUGGAGAGGCCUAUUUAUAGGCUUUGAGAAUGAAUUACCACCAUCAUUUUGCUUUGAUGGAUGUUGUAGGUGGAUUGGGUGGAUUGUUGUAGGUGAAUUGGGUGGAUUGUUGUCAUUUUAAUGCAAUGGUCAACAUUUAUUUUACCGAAAUUUCAAUGUCUACAAAUGUAAUGCAAUGGCCAACGUUUAUUUCACCUAAAGUUCAAUGUCUACAAAUGCCCCCACUUCAAGGCGCAUUGUAUACAUGUGUGUGUCACGUGUAGAAGAUGCGUUUUGAAGUCUCUUAAUGUAGAUGUCGAUCUAAGGGCCGUUGAGGCUUAAUCUUGAAUUGGGCUUGGAGUUUCUUCAAGUGCCGUUGAGGCUUGUUCUUGAAUUUUGUUUGAAAUUUCUUCAAGGGCUGUUGAGGCUUGAUCUUGGAUGAAAUUUGGACCACAAGGAGCUUCAUGUGGUAGAUGAUCUUUGGCUUUGGUAAUGGAUGAAUCGGCACGUAUUUUGUUGCGCUUGUUGACUUUCCACAACUUUGAUCUUGAACUAGGUUGAAUGGUUUUCUAGCUUCCUUUAGAGGUUCGAACUUACUCAUUUUAUCUGGAGUUGAUUUUGAUUCAAGGGUGGUGGACAUUUGAUUUUGAAUCGAACUUGUGAUUUCUACAAGGGCCGUUGAGGCUUGAUCUUAAACUUAAACAUGACCACGAGCAGUUUCAGGAUUUGGACACAUGGUAGGUAGGCACGAGAUGGAGGUGAUGGUCUAUUUCUUUGUUCAAUCUUUCUAAUUCAUAUUGAAGAAGGUCAGGGGAUAAGGUCAGAUGUUGCAAAAAAAUUGUUUUGAAAGAUCAAGGAAGUUCGCAGCAUUUUCAUAUGAACCCUGAGCAGUUUGGUUAACAGUAUAAUCUUCAAGGGUUAUCGAGACUUUGCUCUUCGGCGACAAUACCAGUGAAAGGCUGUUGAAGCUUCUCGAGCUCUUUGAUUAUAUCAACGAUGGCGGGCUUGGAUUUGACUUAGACUUCUCCGUCUGGAUUAUGCAGUUCUACCGAGAAAGGUGUCCUGUUAUAAUGAUUUGUCCCAACUCAUCGUUCUGCAUUCUUCUCUGCUUGUUUCUUUUGCGUAGCAGAAGUGGUGGGCAACUUUUUGCCUUUAAAUGGUCUUUCAGAGCAUCACUUCUCGGCGACACAUCCAUGCUUAGCAGCUUCAGUGUAAAGAGCCAACAUCAUAUCAACUAUCCUGAAAUAUUUACUGAGGAAGUUCAAGACCCGUCAAUAGUUGGAGAUGAGCACUCGAGAGCAGUGCUAGGUAAGUAACUAGGCAAAGGUUCCGAGCAAUCAGUUCCCGAUCGGAAGUUUAAUUUCAGGUUCCGACUGAUUGCUUUCUUUCUCAUUGUUCUGCAGGCAAGAGCAAGGGUAAAUGAAAUGAUAGGGGAAAAUCAUGAUAUGAGAUACCUUUGCUUUCGACCCUGAUGAUAUGAGAUACUUUUGCUUUUGAAGAAGUAGCGGAUGAUCAGCACAUGUAUUUAUUGCGUUUGUCUCCAUAUGCUUUGAUGCAUCAUUUUCACUUGCCUCAUAUGUUCUCUAAGCAUCUGAUAUCUUCUUCGGCAGUGCAUCAACAAUUGAAGAUGAGUGCUGGAGAAUAGUGCUAGGCGAGCAAUCAGGGAAGGGAUUCCAGGCAGUCGGUUCCAAAUCAGAAGACUGAUUCCAAGUGCCGACUGAUCGCUCUCUUUCUCCUUGCCUUGUAGAGAAGAACGAUGACAAAGAAAAGGAUAGGGAGGAAGCGUGCUAUGGGAUACUCUUGCUUUCAACCCUAGUGAUUUGAGAUACCUUUGCUCUGGUAUGACUUGGUUGAAGAGGUGUUUCCAGAGAGAAAGAAAACUGAGUAUGUUGAAGGGUUUGGUUGCAGAUGCAUUUGGCGAAGAAUAAGAGUCAGACGUUCUGGAUGUGUGCCUUGCCAUAGAGGAUGGAGGUCAAACUAUAUAGUGAUUUCCCAAUAGCAAGUGGUAGUGCGGAUGCGGCCUUGUCAGCCAUGCUUGUUGGCCAAAAGUGUGGUAGUUGGAAUAAUGAACUUCGCACGUUUUCAACUCUGUCAGUGAUCUUUGACAAAGUUGCAUGUGAUAGCUGAAAGUUGAGAUUGCGUCUGAAAAGUGUUGACGGACUUUACGCAGGAAAAUCCGGCUUUUGAAAUUCGAAGAGUGGUAUCUCUUUGAUUUUUUGAACAAGUGGUUGUGUUGCCUCUCCUUUUAAAGAGGUGUCAAUCGUAUUCAACAUGCACACUUUCAAGAUUGCCCAUCCUUGAAAAUAGUCUUUGCUGUAUUUAUGAGAUUUUACUCCAUCCAACCCUUUUCUUUUCCCAUUUUUUUUGGAAAUGGCAUACCUGUAUAACAUUUGCUUAGAUUUGAGUCUCGGGAGUGAUACAGGUGCGCAGCGUCAGGGUAAUAUAUGGCGCCCGUCCUUCUUUUCUUCCAAUAGCCCUCUUAUAGUUGAAGACUUUGUGAUGAGGGAUGCAACAACGGCUACAGUUGUAGCUAGGAAGCUUCUCACUCCUAGAGAUAAUAGGGUACUUUCAAGGCGGUUCGAUGAGUUCGCUGUUCAAGACUCCCAGGCUCUCAGUGUUCAGUGUGCAGGCUCUGUGUCCAACAUGGGCCAGCGCCUACUUGCUCGAACUCGCCAAGUUAAAUCAUUGAUGGCCGAGGUGGAAAGCCUUGGAUGAGAGAUCAAACGUCUCAAGAGCAAGAAUCGAGAGUUGCGCAUGCUUGCAAAUGAUUAUUCGACGAGCAUGAAGAGAAAGCUUGCAGGCAUCUGAAGGUCGGAUUCAAAGCGACCAUUAGAAGUUUGUGGCUUUCUUCCAAAGGCACCUUUUGCCUUCGCUUUCUGGCAUUCGACCAAGCAUUGAGGCGCCACAUGAUCAAUCUUUAGUGUCUUCUUCUUCUAGGGUUCUGCCGAGUGCUGAGGCUUCACGUGAGCAACCUUUGUGAAGUCUCCGUCUUUUCUCUUUUGUUUUUCUUUUCCCCUUUUUUAUUUUUUAUUUAUUAUUAUUAUUAUUAUUAUUAUUAUUAUUAUUAUUAUUAUUAUUAUUUACGCACUUGUAAUUUCUUAGAGAUAUCAAUGGACAUGCUUUAUUUUUUUCAGUGCAUUGUGCUAAGUACAAAUAAAAUGUAUAUCUGACUAAGAUGUGUUACUUCCCUCUUCUUUCCUUUUUUUUUUGUUAUUAUUAUUUUUUAGAUGGUGUCUGAUGCACCAUCAUCCCCAUUUUUUUUGUUUCUAUCUUUCAAUGAUUUUGUCGCCACCACCUUUUUCCUUUUUCCUUCUUGACUUGCUAAUAGUAGUAUACACUUGUGAGUGGCUUGACGAUAGCAAUUGGCAUAGGAUAUCAUUCUUCUUUAGAAAAAUGUGAGCUCACCUUAAAAUUGGCAUGCGGGAAAUUAUGUCAGAUGUGUUAAUGGGUUGCUUUUGAACAUGUGCCUUUAUCCUGCUGCUUAAUCCCACCUAGAACCUUUCUCAUGGUGCCGUGCAUCAUCCCUGAAAUCUUCAUAUAUAUUUUUUUGUUUUUGUCAGCCAACACCUUCCCUUUUUUGUUCUAUAUAUACCCUCUACAUGGUACAUGGAGAAAUGCAGAGGAGCUUGGAGUUGGAUGAAGAACUUGGUGCUUUCGAAUCUGAGCAGCUCUUUGGCCGAUUCUAGAGCUCCCAUUGAACGAAAGCAAGACCUUCAAAGUGUCCUAAAAAACUUCUUCCUCACUGCUGUGGAGGAAGGCUGAGCGUUGCAUACUGCAAAAGAUGAGUCUUGGUGCAGUGAGAGGCUAUGACGAAGAGGUAUUUGGGUGUGAGUUGACAAACUUUGGUUUUGUCAAUCACAUUCAAAGGCAUCAGUCAUGGCAGAGAGCUGGAGCUUGCGUCGAGCUUUAUAACUGGCUAGUCGUUUGACGGCGGUCAUUAAGGUUGUUGGCAAUUGCGAUGAGGCUUGUAGAGCAGGAAAAUGUAGCUGGCGUCGUUUGUGCCUUUGAUGACAGUUCUGGCACAGAGGUUGGUGUCCACAAUCAGCAGCACAGUAGAUGAGGAAGUCGGCAACAAUUGGGUGGCCAUGGAUUCGUGGAGCACGCAGGAGGAAGGCGAUGGCUGAGGCCGUUGCUGUAGAGACGGCAAUGAUGGUUACCGUUGCGAUCGGGGGAGGUGUUGACGUGGCUGGGCAACGUUAUUGUAGGGUUUGGAGCUUGUACAUGUGUAACUCCCAUGACAUUCUUAACUUGAAUCAGGCUGUUGUCUUGUUUGUUAGAGACGAACAGUUUGACAGAGAAGUGGAGGAGGUUGCGGUGUUUCUGGGCUGCCAUCGAUUGAAGCGCUUGAGGCUGCGGGUCAAGUACAGGUCGAAAAUGUGGUGGGGUUCUCGGGUUGUCAGCGAAUCUCUGAAAAUCGGGUCUUGAGUGAUUUGGGUAGGCUCGAUCCUAGCAGCCGGUGCAGCGGCAUCAUAGAAUGCCCCGCCACUGCCUUCUUCACCCAUUUGGUGCAGAGUACCAGCCGUCCAUACGCCUUUAUCAUUGAUUUGAGAGUUUCGAGGCUUCGAAUCCGACGGUGGAGGUGAAAUCUCGUCCCGGCUCAGUCCUAAAUCUAAAUCUCCUUUUGUUGAUUUUGACCUUGACCUUGACCUUUCUCGUCGUGCUCUGCGUCGUUGAUGCCGUUUUUCAUCAGUCUGAGUUAACACGUCGACGAUGGCUUUACCAGUGGACUCACCGACCGACUCAGUCUUGUACACUUUGCACUCAUUCAAUUUGAUCGAGCUCUAUGAUUGGUUUCAUCGACGCGAAAUCAUAGGAGAGUUAAAAUAGUCGUCGGACUUCAACGCCUCUGGCGGUGAGCUUAGGGACCUUGACGAUGCUGUCUCGAGAGCCAGAUGGUUUAACGACGGGUCAAGAAGAAUCAUAAUCAGAUUUCUGCCGUGCAUAAUGUCGCUGGAAAUCAUCUCACGAAGUGGAAUCUCUGGUCGAGCAUGCAUUUCUCAAAAGAACGAAGAUCAGUGAGUGAAUUAUUUGGGUGGACAAGAGAGGCCCGUUGUGGUAUUUGAGAAGCUAAGAGGUAAUAGAGUCGUCGCGGUCGAAGGAGAAGACGAAUUAAUCACAUGAGAAUGCAAGAGAGAGAGAGAAAGAGAGAAAGAGAGACUGAUGCUUCUGGGUCUUGCCUUUGAAGAUUUUGGCGUCGAGAAGCAGCGGAGGGAAGACAAGGAAGGCGACGAGGAGAGAGACGCCUGCGGCCACUCCAACUGCAUUGCGAGUUCUGAUCAAACUGGGGUACUUAGCCAGGAGCUUGAAGGUGCUUGACAUUUGCAAUGCUGCUCGUGAUGGGCCAUCGACGAAAGGGACUCUGAGCCAUCGGUGGAUUUGGAACUUGAAAUGCUUGGUGAGAGAGACUUUAGGCCAUCCACGCUAACACCUAGCUCCACAGCUACAAACCUCAGGCCUCUUCCAGGCCCAUUAUCAGCAUGCAUACAUACAUAUUUUUUUUUCGAAGAAACUUUAAUUUUGUACAAAGGAAAUUGCAAAUUUUUUAUUUUAAUUUUUUAUUUUUUUAUGCACAAUGUGUGUGUCCCUACUGAUGGAUUUCUUUGUUUGUAAUGUCAGGAAUCUUUAAUCUUGAGAAGGCAGAGCAUGAUGCCAGGACCUUUAUGAAGCUUCUAGAGGUGUAGUAUUUAGAGUGAGCAGGAUGUGGGCGCAUCUAUGCUCUUUGCUGCCUAGUGCUUGUGCAAGAGACUACAACGGGGUUUCGCUGUGUAGUGCCUUUUGAUCAUAGUUUUCCCUUAGUGGUGCGCUGUUGUGUAAUGUUGUGCAAAAGACUGCAGCGAGGCUUCGCUGUGAAAUAUAUUUUGGUCACAGUUUUUUUUCUUUGGUGGUGACGUCGUCGUGCGGUGCAAGAAACUGCUUGCGUAGUCGCUGCGGGGUUGCGUAAUGCCAUUGCGUGGCAUUUUGGUUUCUUCGCUACUAUAUUGCUCUUUGAAGGACUGUCUUAUGGCUGCCCUCUUUGCCACUGCUGCUGGGAGCCUGUUCCAGUGCGUCACCUUUACCGCGUGGGGUUGUGCAAAAGACUGCAGCGAGUUUAUGCUGUGUAGUGCCUUUUGGUCACAACUUUCCUCGACGGGGACGUUACCGUGCACAUUAACCUUGCUACUUGCCAUGGGCUCUUUGCCGUUGCUGCUUGGAGCUUGUUCCAGUGCAUCGCUUUUAUUGUGUGGGGUUGUCCAAAAGACUGCAACGAGUUUAUGCUGUGUAGUGCCUCUUGGUCAUAACUUUCCUCGGUGGUGACAUUGGAGUAAUGCUCACCUUUGUAUACGGCUUUGUAACCAAAUCAUUCCUUUAAAGAAAUAAAGUAUUCAUAUUCUGAACUUGCUUUUUAUUCUUCAAAGUGUUUGUGUUUUUGUUGGUGAUGUGACUGUACUUGAAGUUUUUAAGUUUCAAGUUGCUUAUGUACCCUCGGUUGAAGAGGGAUCAAGUCAUGACGUAGUUCAAAUGGGUGAUGGAUUUUUUUAUUAUUUAUUUUGAGGAUGAUUUUGAUGAUGAUUUUUUCGUACAUAAUUUAUGCUCUUGCGGCCAGGAGCUUUGGUUCGUGCAGUUUAGGCUCGUGCGAAUAAUGAGCAUUUUGGUUGCCGUAUUGCAGUUUUAGCUCAUGCAGGCAAGGAGCUUUGGUGUUUGUUAAGCGAUCUGGGAGAGUCGUUCCUCGCAAUCUUCAUAGCAAGGAGCCUUGACUGAGUAGCUGAAUAAUUUUCUGAGGAAGAAAAGAUAGCGCAUGGUCGAUCUUUGUGUCGAAAUUUCUUUAUCUUCAACAUUUUCAUGUCGCUUUGGAUGUUGGUGAAAGCUGCUUUGCCCCCUUUCCGAUUGGGGUGCUUGUGGAGAAGACAUAUGCUUCUUGUGCAGUUUCUUUGGAGUGACAUGAGUCCAUACUUCAACUUUACUCGGCUUGACUGACAUGGUUUUGGAGCAUGCCCCUAACAAUUGAGGUGAAGAUUUUAAGUUGAUAGAGCCAGAAGUGACGUCUUCUUUCGGGAUCUCGUCUUCUUUGUCUUCUUGGGCCUCCUCUUCAGUGUCGUCCUCUUGGGUGUGUUGGUGUAAAGAUUGGUCAGUGUUGAUGAUGGUGCGUCUUCUUACUUUCAGUGGUCCAUUUGUGUCAACCUCCAAGAUUGCUUGGCACUUCAUCCUUGAAGGAAUUGAGCUUCGAAUAUCACAUUUUUCUACUAGCAUGUCGAGCUUUUCUUCCUUUGACGUUGUCUCCCUAUUUCUAGAAAGCUUCUUGUUGUCUUCAAAUCUUUCCAAAGUUGAUCGACGAGGAGGAUAGCUAGCCGUGUUGCUUUGUUUUUUAGGUUUUGACAACUUUUCAAAAACAGAGCUUUGGGAUGUUGGCAUGUUAAGCCUCUUGAAGACGGAGGUUCGGUUUUGACCACCAAUACGAUUAAGUGCUGACGUUCUGGGCCUUGAACGAUUCAUCCUAUCGAAGAUUGACAUCCAAAUGGUGGAUUUAGGCUCAUCUUGAUCUUGUUCAAUGCUCACACUGAUGUGUUGAGUGCUAGCAUUUUUCGCUUUGUUUGAAAUCUUCAUAGGUGCAUUUGGUGUGAAGCCAAGUCCAGCUUUGUUGUUGUCAACUCCGUAACCAUGCUUCUUUAACUUCUUUUGAGUCUCGAUGAGGUCACGUUCUUUAUUGAUGAUGGUGUUUGAAACCUUCUUUCCAGGAUUCGAAGUAGAAGUGAAGUCGUACCUAGCUUUCGACAUGAGUUUGUAGGCGUUUGGAUCAAAACCUUCUUCGGUCCUCUUGGUUGGGAGAAAGCUUGGUUCCACCCUAUUUGGUAGAGCUUUUAUGAAGCCUUGUGGUAGUCUUGCAACCUUAGCAUCGCUUAGCUGUGUCAGAGGAAAAACUGCAUUUGUCUUGAGCAACUUUACAUUAUCCCUGUGCCGCUGUGCAUCAGUUUUGCUUGCUCUAGUUUCGAACGGAGAUUGACCAUUCUUUCUUCUAGACAUCAUGAUGUAUCGGAAGACGGGUGUGUUUGGUCCAUUUAAGGGCAUCCUACUCCCUUUAGUUGUUGCAGGUUUAGCAAGCUUAUCAUCGUUCUUGCUUGAAGACGACAUAGCUUCUUCUUCUUGCUUUUUGUGCAUAGCUUGCCCCUCCUGCUUUUUAGGUGUUGCUUUGCUCAUGGAUUUGAUCUCUUUUGGAAAAGCUUCGGGCACCAUGUCUUCAUCUAUGUAGAACUUGGCGUCUGUGAAAUGUGAAUCGGCUUCGGUGAAUGGUUUGGUGUCGCCAUAGAUCACCUUCACUUCUUCUCGGUAGAAUUUUAAGCAUUGGUGAAGGGUAGACGGUACUAUUCCAUUCGCAUAGAUCCAAGGCCUUUCUAAGAGUAAGUCGUAGGAAAGUUUUACAUCAAUCACGUGGAAUAUUAUGCUUGACUUGAGUUCACCAAUAGUCAUCUCCACUCGGAUCAUGCCUAUCGUUCUUUGUCCUCCUUGAUUAAAACCUUGGAUUAGUAGACGGCUUAGGGACAGUUCAUCCGCCUUGAUGCCGAUUGUAGUCAUUGUUGACUUUGGCAUGAUGUUUAUGGCUGAUCCACCAUCCACAAGCAUGCGGUUGACUUUGUGCUCCCUUACAUACCCAGAGACGAAGAGAGGACGGUUGUGAGGCUUGGAUCCUAGUCGGUGAAGUGGAUUGCAUCCUCGGCGGCACAACAUGUGGCACAUUUAUAUGGCCGAAGCUUUAAGCCUUUAUUCUUGCUUUCUUACACUUCGUGGUCUUUGGGACUUGCCAAGACCGCUGUCAGUGCUUUUCGCAUCUUCUUUGGCAAUCGUAGCGCUUCCUUGAUGCUAAAGUAUGUUGGCAGACCUUCUUCGAGCGUGAGAGUUUUUUUCCCCUCAGUGGCGAUAACUUUGCCUUUUGAAGGCUCUUCCAUCUCUACUUCAACCAUGUGACAGGCGACGGUAGUGCACUGUUGGAAAAAGUCAUCAGGGAAGUCCUCGUUCAAGCAGACAGGAAUGCGUGGCUCUUGCUCCAUAGGUUCCCCAGCAUACGUUGGCUUAACAACUUUUUUGUUUCUUUUAGGCUUCCUACUGUUACGGUGACAGUGCUUUCUCCCUUGUUCCACCUUUGACUUUGUGGCUUGUGGUUUUCGUUUCCUUGUUUUUUUGUAGGUCACCAAUGUCCAUCAUUCUUUAUCAUCGGUAUGUGCAUCUUGGUCGCUUGCCCCCGGUGAUGGUUGUGCCAAAGGUGCUUGAGCAUUGGCGGGAAUGGUCAAGUGUCGCUUGGAGAGGUACGGGAUCGAAGGAUCCAAACGUAAUUGUAGUAGUAUGUGUUGCUGUUGUGUCUUCAAGGUCGAGCUCGAUUUGCCCUUGUUGUGCUAGCUUCAUGAUGAGUUCUUUGAGGACGAAGCACUUGCCAACAGGAUGGCUCACGAUACGAUGGUACUUACAGUACUUAGGAUUGUUUACGUGAUUCAUCUCUUCAGGGCGCUUGCAUUCCGGUAACUCGAUCACCUUCUUUUUCAGCAAGUCGUCUAACAUUGCAUCCAUGUCUGAGUCAGGAAAAAGGUACAUUUCCUACUUCAAUUCCCUUAAGGUGUUUUUAUAUCUGUCUUGGGUGCAAGGAGGCUCACUUCUCUUUAUCUCUUUUGCUUUGGUCUUGGAGGAGAUCUUGAUAGGCAUGGAUGAGGUCUUGAUGGGCGCGGAGAACGUCUUGAUGGGUGUAGUGUUGACGGUGAACGCUUCCUUGGGGGGCUUCUUCCCAGUUUUGUCUACAUUUGGGGAAAACACCUUAUCCUUCUUGAAGUUGGUGAUCAACUCCCUCUUCCUGUGGUUGGCGAUACUCAACUCCAUGUCGUGGGAACGAGUUGCUAGCUCUUCAAACGUUCUUGGUUUUAUGCCCUGAAUGAUGUAAUGUAGCCCCCAGUGCAUGCCUUGAACGCAAAUCUCAAUGGAUGAGGUUUCAGAAAGUCGAUCUAUUGAUGUAGUCGACGACAUGUCCAUUCUUCCACUGUUUCGUACUAGUCAACUCCAGCAUGUUUACGGUGCGGCACGUGCUGUAGAAGCGGUUGAGGAAUCCACUUUCUAGCUGAUCCCAACUGUUGACAGAUUCAGGCUCGAGGUCGGUGUAGCAGUCAAAGGCAUUACCUUUCAACGAGCGCACAAACUGCUUGACGAGGUAGUCUCCCUUUAUUCCAGUAUUGUUGCAAGUUUCAAUGAAAUGGGCGACAUGUUGCUUUGAGUUUCCUUUUCCAUCGAACUGCAUGAAUUUUGGUGGCUGAUAACCCUUCGGCAUCUUCAAAGCGUUAAUCUUCUUGGAGUAGGGCUUGGAGUACAACACGGAGUCAUGUGAGCUUCAUUCGUACUGUGCCUUGAUGGUGCUGACGAUCAUCUUCUGCAACUGCUGGAUAGAGAGAGAUCCCAUGAGUGCCGCUGAUUGGUUUGGCUUUAGCUUCUCUUUGACUUUCUUCGCAUGAGGCUCUUCAUCCUCGUCGUUUUCCUUCUUUACUGGAUUAUCCCUUUGCUCGACUUUCACGUCGGACUUCGCAUCUAGUUAGUUGACAAGUGCGGCGAUUUGCAAGUCUUUCUCCUCCACAGUCCGUGGGAGUUUUACGAUCGCUUCAUUCAUUUGAGCCAGCUACUCUUCGAUUGAAGUUGCUUCGGUAGUCAUGACUUGCAUGGCUAUGUUGUUGCUUGAGUCGGCAUCGAAAAGUAAGGGCUCCGAGUGCUUCCUCGGGCUUUCCUCUCUUGGCGCCCUUAGCGAGGCCAGAGUGAUCACGGGUUUGUGCCUCGGGUGCUCGUGUGCCUUCAGCGAAGCUGAUACAGGUGGAAGAGGUGGUAGAAAGAGCCAUUGCCUUGCUUUGGGUUAUGAUGCCUGAAGUGACACCACCUGCGGCGAUGAUGCUCAUGUUCCUUGCAUUGGUUGCGAGAACGGCUUGAGCCUUCCUUGAUGCCAUUUUUGCUUUUUACUGAUUACGAAGAUAGAGAUGAGAGGUAGAAAUAAUCCCACCAGGCGUGCCAAAUUUGUAAACACUAGAAUUCCUACGAUGAAUGAGACAAGAACACGUGUACAAAAUAAUAUUUGUAUCAAUGAUUUAAGGGUUAUAAUCUCUUAUACAAAUUUAGCCUCUGAUUCGAUCUUCGUAAUGUGUAAAUUUGUGGAUUGUGUUGUUGAUCCAAGGGCCAUCGGGGCUUGAUCUUGGAUGAACGAUUGAUGAAUGAUGAACACUUUCUUUAAGGGCCGUCGGGGCUUGAUCUUGAAUUGGUGGAAGUUCUCCAAGGGCCGUUGGGGCUUGAUCUUGAAAGAGGGGUUCACGAAGAACGAAUAAGGCUUUCUUGAUCCUUCGGGAUUUGCUUGAGAGUAGAGAAAAUGUAUGUCAAUUUCCUCCUCUUUCUCUUUUAAUGGAGAGGCCUAUUUAUAGGCUUUGAGAAUGAAUUACCACCAUCCUUUUGCUUUGGUGGAUGUUGUAGGUGGAUUGGGUGGAUUGUUGUAGGUGAAUUGGGUGGAGGUUGUAGGUGAAUUGGGCGGAUUGUUGUAGGUGAAUUGGACUGAUUGUUGUAGGUGGUCAACAUUUAUUUUACUGAAAUUUCAAUGUCUACAAAUGUAAUGCAAUGGCCACUACUUAUUUCACCGAAAUUUCAAUGUCUACAGCAUUAUGUUUAAGCAGUUCUUACAAACAUAAUUUAAUCAACAGGUACUUUGACAGAAGAUUUCUGAGAUGGAUCUCCAAGUGGCUUCUAGGAUAUCUCCUUUUAUUGAACAAUUACUAAAAAGUGAUAGAUUCCUUAUUAUUAUGCAUUAAUAUAUCUAUCACUUUCAUUAAAACAAUUUAGAAAGGAUACGCUCACAGAAACUUGAAUCAUUCUUCCACAACAGACGCCUUCCUUUCAUUAGGACAAGUCAAGUUUGCACCUGUAUUAACACCUUUAUUUAGUUUACUAGCCAAUUAAGGUUUCUACAUGUCAAACAUCUCUAAUGCCUUCGAAUUAGUGAAAACGGAGUGUGCUACGUGAUUCAGGACAUCGAAUAACCUUAACGUAGGUCUUAGUCUCCAUGCGCAGUUACACGUGCCGUACGUGCCACUCUAUAUUCGGUGGCACACCAUCGUAGUUAAUGUCGUCGUCGACGAACGCGCUACUGUACUCACCGGCGAUACGAAGUUGCAAUCACCGGCUCGCAAUUGCGCCAGAAUAGUGGCAAUCGAUGUCUGGCACUGCCAUGUGUCAUGUGUGUGCAAGUUAUAAUAGAAUAUACCUUCUUUGUUACAUAUUUCAUCAGAACUAAACACUCCGUAGCCUGUCUCUGUAUUUGUUAAGUCUAUUGUCGUUCGCCCUGCUCUGCCACCAAAAUCUUGGUCGAAUUCUGCAAAAUUCCCAAAGUAAGUUACAGAGCUUGGUUUAGCUCGAAUUUCUAAAUUUCAAUUUUAAAACAAAUAUUUUUAAAUAAAUACGAUAUUACUUAUACUAUGGGAUAGGGAGAGUGAGUUAAGCCUAAUAAUGGGUUAGCCGUUAUAAUUUGGUUCAAAUUCACCUUUGGCAGGAAUUGAACCGACGACAUUUCACUUACAAGUGAAGAGGAAUACUACUAAACCGUUGUAUUAAUUGCCAACAACAAUGAUACUAUGAAUCCAAGAACAACCCAUUGAAAACUACAAUCAACAACAAUUUAUCACACUUAACAAAGCAUACUAUAUGACUACAAAAGAUGAAGCAUUUUAGAUAAACAAUCUCAAAGAAGCACCCUUUUGCAAAACCCUAAUUUCUCAGAGAUUUUGGCAUGGCUCUAGAUUAAAGAACAAUAUGUUGAGUCACUCUACUCCAUGGGACAGAAACUAAGUGUGAAGAAUUCCAUUUUAACAAAGCAUACUAUAUGACUACAAAAGAUGAAGCAUUUUAGAUAAACAAUCUCAAAGAAGCACCCUUCUGCAAAACCCUAAUUUCUCAGAGAUUUUGGCAUGGCUCUAGAUUAAAGAACAAUACGUUGAGUCACUCUACUCCAUGGGACAAAAACUAAGUGUGAAGAAUUCCAUUUGGUCGAAAGAAGAAUGACCAGCCUGAACCACGACGACUUUGCAGACACAGAUGACAUCCCUGUCACAAGUCUCCAAGGUAUUUUGGAUGGGAGGAAAAACCCAGACUACGAGAAGGUGUGCUUUGUGAUAGUGAGUGCUUGUGAGAAGUGGGGGAGAUCUUCAAGUUAGUGGAUCAUGGGGUUGCUUUGGAGAUCAUAGAGAAUUUCAUAGGGAGUUUAAUGGGCUGUUUGAUCUUCCAAUGGAGCAGAAAGUGAAGGGUGUCAGAUCAGCUACUUGUUCCUAUUUUGUUAGCGUGAUAAGGCAUGAAAUGCUAGAUAUGCAUGGAUUUUUAUGGGGCAUGGUGUGAAUUAUACAAAUGUCCGCCUCAAUUAUACUAGCUUGUCAUGGUUGUGAAUUAUUUCCCUUCUUGAAUCUGCACCUUUACAUGUGUGUACGUUUGGUUUAGGGCUUGUAUACUAAUUUUGCUUUGAGACUAGAAUGAGUUUGCAUGUGACAUUUUUGAGCUCCAACACUAAUUAACUUAAAGGCAAAAGCUAGGUGUCCCUAUACCAAAUGGUUAUUGGAAAAAUAGUUUUAUUCUUUAGUAAUAGUUUAAGAUGAUUGCUAAAAUUGUCGUUUAAGCACAUGUGGGUGAUUUCUGACUGUAAAUGUUUGUAAAUUCUAUAAGAAAAUUGCAACAAGAGUUUUUUUGUGGCCAACAUCACCCAUUUAGGUAAGAUUUUCAUAUAUCAUAUAACUUGAACUCUUUGAUCAUGUAUAGUUUAAUGGUUUUAACAGUAGAUUAAUUAGAGAUAAUUAAUCAACAAACUUACCACCUCUUUCAAUACGAGUGGUACAAAUAGGUUUUUUGGUUAACUUCUACAAACUGUUGUCCAAUAAAGUGAAGGUUAAAUGUUUUUGUACCAAUUGGUUAUUGGAAGCAUAGUUUUAUUCAUUGCUUACGGUUUAAGAUGAUUGCUAAAAGGGUGGUGCAACUCCCAUGUCAAAUUUUUUUCCUUUCACACACACCCUAUUAAUUUUUGUAAUUUGACCAUCUUCAAUUCAUUUAAUCGGACGGCUAAAAAUUGAGAUAGUGUGUGAAAAGUAAAAAAAAAAGUGUGCGGAUAACAUCAUUUUUGCUAAAAUUCUCGCUCAAACACAUGUGAGCAAUUUUUUAUUGUAAAUGCAUGUGAAUUCAAUAAAAUUUUAUAUGCAUCAAUGAUGUGAAAUCAAUCACGCACCCACACAGGACUGACCUUGUUAGCAUUUUUCUUCAUAUAGUUUAACGCUUAUCAAUAUUUGGAAUAUGUGUAUCAGCAAUGCAAUGAUUGGACAGAAAACUUUGGAGAUGUUAGCUCAUGGACUGGGCCUUCCAAGACAAAUUUUUCACAGGGAACUUUGAAGAAAAAGAGGGUACCAUGAUCAGGGUCAAUAGAUAUCCUCCUUGUCCACUCCCUGAAAAAUGUCUCGGGCUUGGGAGCCAUUCAGACCCACAUACCUUUUAACUAUAUUGUUACAAGAUGAUGUUGGCGGCCUUCAAGUUCUGAUGAGUGACAAGAAAUGGGUUGGUAUCCGUCCUGUUCAAAGUUCUUUCCUCAACAUUGGUGACACCCUUGAAGUAAUCUCUCUCUCUCUCUCUCUCUCUCUCUCUCUCUCUCUCUCUCUCUCUCACAUAAGCAAUUGUAUGCAUAUAUACAUUAAGGUGUAUAUAUGAAGUAAUGUUCUCUUACUAGAAAAUGCUAAUGUUGUGAGACUGUGAACUUGAAUCACAUGUUUUUUCAAAAGUUUGGUUUUUGUACAUAGCUGUAUAUGUUCUUGCAAGCUUGGACCAAUUCUGCCCUCAUUGACUGCCCUCUUAAGCUCAUGGAUUCAAAAAUCAACCCUAGAAAGUAUGAGCCCUUCACUUGGGGGUGAUUUCAAAAAGCAACUUUUGGUUCAAAACAGGGUUGUUGGAAACAGCUGCCUUAGAAUAGAAUGAUACAUCAUAUUCAAGUGAAGAGAAUGGUCUGAAUCUUAGAAGGACAAAAUGUUUAGACUUAUUAAUAUUAUAUUAUAGAUGUCUUAUAAAUGUUUGGUCUAUUCAUAUUAGCGGUCUUACUUCUAUUAAAAAUAGAGUUUACACUAUGAUCUACGAAUAUGAUGCAAUUUACUGUACAAGUCCUUGCUUGCAAGGAAAGAGGGAAAAAAAAAAACACAAACUAUGAAGAUUCCUUCCACAUACAUAUCAAAUUUUUUUUUCACGUAAUUAAUAAUUUCAAAAAUACGAAAGGCCCUUUUUCCUAUUUGAAGUUUAUCAACGGAAUGCCAAAGAACAGAAAUUUUCCAAUUUCCCCAUCAUUGACCAAUAUAUCAGACCAAAUGGAAGCCUGUUUAAUUUUUGUCAAACGAUAGUGUUUAGUAAGUUAAAUUGUUAGUUAUUAGGAAGGGAGAGGAUCAGUAGUGAACGAACAUGCACCAGGGUACAUAAACAUAAUUAUUAAGAAGAAAGUAUGUUUAAUUAGCUAACAACAAUUGAACAAUACUAUAUGUAUAACCUACCAAUUGUGUGACUAAACAGGACAUAUUAUAUAAAAUAUAUAUAACGUCUUCAUAUAUCAUUCUACUAGCUGUACGGAACACACACACAUAUAUACAGUUUUGUGGAAUCAUAAUCCACACAAUGCAAAAUUGUCAACUCAUGGCCCAAACAACUAAACACGAAAUCAAAUGAAGACUAAUAAGGGUUGUUAGGAUUUGAUCGGACCCUCUCUCUCGACCGUGUGGCUUCUACUUUCAUUUCAAAUUACUUUUAAUUGGUUUACAACUACUUUAGUCGGCAGAGUGGAUAAUAGAACAAUACAACAUAAACUAAACUUGCUCACAUAUUAAAUUACAUGCGGAUAUGCAUUUUGGUGCAGUUUUGUGGAAUCAUAAUCCACACAAUGCAAAAUUGUCAACUCAUGGCCCAAACAACUAAACACGAAAUCAAAUGAAGACUAAUAAGGGUUGUUAAGAUUUGAUCGGACCCUCUCUCUCGACCGUGUGGCUUCUACUUUCAUUUCAAGUUACUUUUAGUUGGUUUACAACUACUAUAGUCGGCAGAGUGGAUAAUAGAACAAUACAACAUAAACUAAACUUGCUCACAUAUUAAAUUACAUGCGGAUAUGCAUUUUGGUGCAGAUUUAAUUUUUAUUAAUUUUCGUUAACAACUAACUAUUUAGAUCACUAUUUAUCAUAAUACUAUUGUUUUAUUAUAAAAAAAAAUCAAAUUACAUGAUGAUGAACUUUAGCUCCAUGUUCAUGACCUAAAUUAUCGGUUCGAUAACCGUGGCAAUUAUAAGAAACACAUUUAUUAUGUAGACCAUACAUUUUCUCCAGCCAAGCCUCAUGACAAUGUUGGGUGCAUUUGGAUAACCAGCGGCUUACUCGGGAUUAUUCCAGAUGUGGCUUACAAUACUUUUCUUUUCAGUUGAAAUUGGUCAUAAGAGAGGUUUUUCUCUUUGAAUGAUUUUUUUUUUCUUGCAAAAGAAAAUAUACAGAGACUUUUCACCUCAUGGAUCGAUUUUCAUUUUUCAACUUUUUUUAGGCUGGAAUAAUUUAUAUUCUCAAGUCACCAGUGAGAAAAUGAUUUUCCAAUUCAAUGCCUCCUUUUCCAUUUUAUGAAAUAUGGUCAAAAGAGCUUAAUUAUAUCCUUACAUUUGGUUCACUUACCGCGUAGAAUUUUUUUGAUCACUUCUACAUUUGUCGGUUGCAAAAUCACUUCUCUAUUUGAACUGCAAAUUGUGGUUGAAAUGAAAGUUGUAUUUAAAAAUUAAAAAAACAUUCAAAUUGUCUUGCUUUAAAACUUUACGUGCCUUGACUUAGUAUCUCCAUCAGCAUGCAUGCGAAACUUCUCCUCCAAGAAAAUGUCUGCAUACCAACUACACAUUGAAGAAAGCGUAGGCAUGAGAUUGUACGGAUAUUCAGAGCGUGUGUUUCCGCCUGCAAGGUUUUGGUCAAUAGUUAAGGAUGAUUCUUGGAAUAUAAGCAACUACGUACUUAAAAUCUGACCUGGCAGCUGCAUUGGUCCUAAAAUAUUUGGUCUUCGCCCAACAUGACAAGUAAAAGCAAGAGGAAAAACGCUACUUUGUUUGUCAACACCAACAUGGCAGCAAAAUAAUGCUGAUGUUGCAGGAACACGUAUACUGUACAUAUAAGCUAGUUUCCCCAGUCUGAUGGCAACCUUUCUCAGUCGCAGAAGGAGGCACAUCCUUUUCAAAGUCUUAGGUCGUUUUUCUUAUAGGCCAAGUUCUUACUAUUCCACCUAGCAUUAAGUACGUAAAAAGCCCUAACUUUUUAGUAUCAUUCUAAAUCAAUCUCAAUCUUUUUAAAUACUCAAAAUAAGUACUCAGCAUAUUGAAAAUGUCACAUCCGAUAAACAUAAAUUAAUUUUCAGUUAAAUUAACUAGGCUUACUUUGUUUGCAAAAUCAGUAAAAAGUCACGGAAGCAUGGCCUCUACCACUAACGUCACCACCACCAGGCCUCCAUCAGGCCAUCACUUCCAAACCCAAUGUACAACCACCAACUUCACCCUACAACUUAAAUUGCCAACACCGAGAAGAAGGUCAUAGAGAUUGUUUAAAUGGAAUGGACUGUCAUAAUGUGGCCACUUGCCACCACCAUCUUGACCGUCCACAAAGAAGAACUACAAGCUUUACGACUCGAGAAUUGGUGAAUGAGGAAACUUCAUGAACAGAAUCAGGCUCCUUAAAACCUUAUUUGAAUUUUUAACCCCCUUGUUUGUUAGAACUUUGAAAAUUGCCCUCCUGAUGUAAAGCAAGUUGGGUCCAUUUUCGAUUCAUUUUAGUACUCUUUUGAUCAUUUGGUUCCAUAUUAUAUAAUCUAUAUGUGAAAGAUUUCGAUAACCAACAGUAAUAUUGUAUUAAGGGUACAAAUGUAAUACAGUUAGUAAUAUAGUUAGGUAGUUAGUAUUUGGUUAAAGUAGUUAGGAUUUCUUUAUAAAUAGUAUGUGUAACCUUCAUUUCAGUAAGUCAAUACAAAACCUAUUUCUCUCUAAACUCUUUCUCUAAAAUCUCUCUUGCUUCUCUCUGUCCUCUUCCUCUGUACCAAUCUUUUAUCUUUGCAAUGUAGUUGAUAUGGUAUCAGAGCCACCAAGGCUCACGCCAUGGAUCUUGGUGGUCGAUUCUUCUUCUAUCUUUCUUCAUUACUUUCUUUUGUUUUCGUGUAUUUGAUCGUUUAUGCUUCCGUAUUCAUAGUUUUUUUUUUUUUUUUACUUUUGGGUCUCUGGAUUUUUCCUCUCCUCUUCCUUCACCUUCAGAAUACCUUCUUCAUCUCGACGGCGACGACGAGAAGCACAGCCGCCCGAUCAUCAGCAGUGAGCAACUCGAUCCUGGCACCGGCCUCACACUGCUCAACGAUCUUGGAGUGUUCCUCAGAAUUUAGGUCUCCAACACCGAGAAACCGCUCGUCUUCUACGAUAAUCUUGCUAAGAAAGUCGACAAGUAAGUACCUUAAGUCAUGUUCACAAGGUGUUCGAAGAAAAGUCUGAGAGAAAAAGUGUGGUACUCGAAUCUGUUUCUUGACGGACCGAUUUCGAUUCACGGUGUUCUUGGCCCGUAGCUUUGGAUCUGAGCGAUGUUAAUCAGGGUUGGGCUACAAAGGUGUUCGACGGAUUGUUCGUGAGUUGCGUUCAAAGAUUUGAUUUGUAUCAGGUGAUAUUGUUCAUAUAUCUCAUACGCUUAGGUUGUGCACAAUAUAUUCCGAUAAGGUUUUUCUGGAUCUGGUAUUCCUGAUUUGAGGUGAUAUAUGCUACAUUCUUGGAUCUGCAGAUUUUGGAUUAUAGUUUCUUCUUGGUGUUGUUUGCAUAUCAGCUCUCUGUGCUUCUUUGGUGUUAUUUAAUCCAUGUUCUGUUCUCUGUUCCACUACUUUGAUGAUCUGGUGGAGCUGCUAAUUCCCUGCAAAAGUGUAUGUUUCUUUGAUUUUGUGAAGUAGUCGAUUGAUUUCUUUGGGCACAAAGCCAUUACUGUUUGUUUGCGGCACGAAGCCAUGUUUUCUGUAUAGAUUAGUUGAUUGAAGUUUGCGGCACGAAGCCAUGUUUUUUGUAUAGAUUAGUUGAUUGAAGUUUGUGGGCACGAAGCCAUGUUUUUUGUAAAGUUUAGUUGAUUAGAGUUGUAGCUGUUGAAAGGCUUGGUUUGCAGGGGGUUGUUCUUUGCUAGCUUAAAACGAAUCUGAGGUGCGAGAACAAGAGAACCGGAGAACCAGAGAGCAAAGAAAAGUAGUUCUCAUGUGCACUUUGAUGAAAGCAAUAAGACGAUCAGUGGAACUAAUCAAGAUCAGGAGUGCAAGAGCGGCAUUGACCUUAAUGCAAUGCCAGUGGUAUUCAUUUGUUCUCCAUUGCUGAAAGCUUGAAGCUUGCAGGAUUGUAGAGUUUGCUGUGUUGUGUUUGUUAAAAGUAAAGAGUUUGUUGAUCUAGAAGAACAAGAAGUUGUGUAUGACGGAAAACUACGUGAAGAUCAGAGACUUAUUGAUGACAUAUGUAAACAUAAUGAUGCUGUCUUACAUCUGUUGUUUUGGAAGUCUGCAAAAGUUAGGGCCAGACCAGUUAAGAAAAACUUUGAACUGUCAGUUGUGGCACCAUAGUGGGAGACUGCAGUUGAGAAGAAACUGAACCAUUUAUCCAUAUUUCGGUGUUUGCUAUUUGCGAAUCUACUGCAAUCUCACACUGGGAUACCCCAGUUGAGAUUGAGGGGGAGUAUUAAGGGUACAAAUGUAAUACAGUUAGUAAUAUAAUUAGGUAGUUAGUAUUUGGUUAAAGUAGUUAGGAUUUCUUUAUAAAUAGUAUGUGUAACCUUCAUUUCAGUAAGUCAAUACAAAACCUAUUUCUCUCUAAACUCUUUCUCUAAAAUCUCUCUUGCUUCUCUCUGUCCUCUUCCUCUGUACCAAUCUUUUAUCUUUGCAAUGUAGUUGAUAUAUUGACCAUGAAAAACCAGGUGGCCGGUGGAUUUUGAAUAUAAAGUUUGGAUUGGGGUUUGUGGUGGUUGUUAACCUUGGAGGUGGCGAGGUUUUGAUUUUCCCAAUCUUCAUUUUUUGUAUUCAUUUUUCAAAUUAUUAAUUUUAGUAUAUUUUAGUGUCCAAGUAAGCGAAAUAGUGAGACCCCUUUUCAUAUGUACAUUUGACUAAAAAACUAAUUGGGGUUUAACGGUUGUGACAUUUUCAAUAGGUUGGGUGCUUGUUUAAAACUUUUAAAAAGCUUGAUACCCAUUUGGAAUGACACUAAAAGGUUGGGUGGUUUAAGGUACUUAAUCCUUCCACUUAUAAAACUUUUUUUCCUAAUCAAUCCUACAAUUACGGAGACUUUCUAUUUCCACCUAACAUUCUACUCAGCAGACUAGGGUGCGUUUGUUGCACCGACUUAUCUUAAAUUGGACUAGUUUCAGGAACUAAGCUGGACUGGUUAAAAUAGACUAAGGUGGACCGACUUAGGGCUCGUUUAGAAGUGUUUUUAAAAUUGCUAAAAGAGUUUUUGAUGAAAAUAUUUUUGGAACCAAUCUUUAGUAAAAAUGCAGGUGAAUCUUGGAAAAACACUUGAAGCUUGUUAUAAGAAGCACAUAAUUUGUUCUUACAAGAAGCACUUUAAGUGCUUUUAUAGAACCCAAAAUCAUUUUCGCCAAAUGGGCUUUUAGUCAUUUUAAAAUCACUUCCAGAUGAGCUCUUAGUGAAGCGUUUGGUGCAUUGUUAGACUAAGUUACAAAAUAAUGAAAAUAGUAUGUCCUAAGUUUCGGAUUCUCUAAGAAUUCCCCAGCUUCUUCCCAUUUACCUUCAUUCAUGAAACUGUUGUUGUCGACUAUUAUAAACUUUUUUUUUCCUUUCUUUUGAUAAACUUUGGGCAAAUUUGAUAACAAUUUCGGUUUUUGGUUUUCUUUUCUAAUUAGUUAAAGUGAAGGAAAUGUAUGGGAGGAACGACAGGGGACUACAAGGAAGAAGGAAGUUUGUUUAUACCAUAUUGAGGGCAUCCGUAUUUAGAUAUCGUACAAAUACUUGAGGGACUUAAAUGUAAUUAUGUAAUAAAGGAAGGGGAAAAUAUGUAAUAAGUGAGGAGUCCUUAUUCUAUAAAAGGACCCAUCACCCUCACAAUUAGAGGGAGGCCAUUUCUGAGGCCAAUUCCCAAGGCUUUUCACCCCCUUUCAAAGCUUUCACUCUCAGAGCUCUCUCUCUCCCUCAGAUAAAUACAUAAUCAGUGUGGACGUAGCCCAAACCUUGGGGUGAACCACGAUACAUCUUGUGUUAUUUACAUUACUUGCAGAUUCACAGUCGAAUUUACAUUGUUCCAAGACCUCCGGUUUUGUGCAUCAACAUUUGGCGCCGUCUAUGGGAAUCGAUACGAAAAGUUAUGUCGGUUCUCUUUCAUUUUUUUCACCUCCACCGUGAAUCUGCAAAAAUCCACCCAAAGCUUUCCCAGAAAACCCACGGAGCCACAUUUUCAUCCUCAUUCUCUCUCUGCAGCUUCACUUUGCUUCGUCUUAGCCCACCAAAAAUCUCUCUAUUUCUCUCAGAGUACUUAGCAGUUUACUCUUCGUCUUCAUUGCUCUCAACUCAAACCACUGACUGAAACCCAUAUUUUGAAACGCUUUUCAGCAUCCAAACAAGCCACAAAAGCAAGAAAGAGAAUGGUUGGUAAUGAGCUUUAAGCCAAAGAACUUCAUUCCAGGAGUUGUCAUUGGCUUCAUCCUUGGGUUGUUACUGGAUUUAUCAUAGCCUAGUAAGGGUCGAUCAAAGAAAAACAUUGCUUCGAUAGGCCAGCUCCCACUGGCUUCAUCCUUCUCGGAAUCGUGUCGGUGCACAAAUUGGGAAAAUAAAGAUGGAAUCUUCCCACGGCUAGCGAACCAGUUGUGCCUUCCACACAAGCAAGAAGCAACUUCUCUCUCUCUCUCUCCGUCUCUGUCCCAUCAGAGAAGGGAACUCCAUCUCUCUCGACUCUCCGCUGAACUGACGUACAACUCCGAAUCUCUCUACUAUUUUUUAUUUUCCGAGCUCCCCUUCACACCCAAGAGGAAGAUCCACCCCCCCCCGCCGCUUGAUAUACCCAAUCAAUUUCACUGGGUAUAGAAUCGGCGAAUUGGAAAAAAGACGACACCUUUCAGGUGCUGGAGAGAUGGAAGGUCCCAAACCCAGUAUGGAGGCGCUGGAGAGAUGAGUGCUGGUGAAGCUGCGGCGGCGGAGCAAGGUGACGGUGGUGGAUUCAGUUGCCAACCAAAACGCUGUGAACAGUCUUAUCAAUAACAGCUGCGAAUAAGCCAACCAUGGCUUCACUAAGGCAGCGGGACUCCAAUCCUCCUCACUCUCACUGUCAUCUCCU